GGGACGAUGGUGACUUCUCGCAACCCUAUGGUGCGUACGUGUCGGCGGUUUGAAACUUUGGUUCGAUUUGGUGAACUUGUGGACUACUGGAUGGUCGUGAUAUAUAUACAUGAUCUUCGUGAUAUAUAUAUAUAUGUGAUGUUCGUGAGAUGUAUGUGCUCGUUGUCGACUCUGUGUGUGUGAAGGUAUAUAUAUGUAUCUGUCUAUUGUCUGGAUGCAAAUAAACAAAAAAAAAUUAAAAUUUCUCUGGUCUUUGCCGAGGGCCUUGACCAUAGCCCUCGGCAAAGAUUUUAAAUUUUUAUUUGGGUAAUUUCUUUGCCGAGAGCUACCAUGCAGGCCCUCGGCAAAGAAUUCUCCAGAAAAAAUAAAAAAAGAUACUUUGCCGAGGGCCUGCAUGGUAGCUCUCGGCAAAGAAAUUACCCAAAUAAAAAUUUAAAAUUUCUUUGCCGAGGGCCUGUAUGGGAACCCUCGGCAAAGAAUUUACCAAAAUAAAAAUUUAAAAAAUUCUUUGUCGAGGGCCCAACGUUCGGCCCUUGGCAAAGACGCCGUCAGUUACAGCCAGUGGCCUAACGGCAUCUUUUUUUCGCCGAAGGCCGGCGUCAGCCCUCGGCAAAAUCUUUGCCGAGUGCCCGACAGAAGGCCCUCGGCAAAGACCCCUUUGCCGACGGGAAAUUUCCCGACGGCUCUUUGCCGAAGGCAGCCCUCGGCAAAGCCUUUGCCGAGGGUCUUAUAGCCUUUGCCGAAGGCUGGAAGCCCUCGGCAAAUCCUCUCUACAGUAGUGCUACGAUAAUUUCCAUCAUGCAUGACACCCAUGAAACCCACCUUUCUGAUCUUAAGUACAAGAGUCAAAUUGAUUAGCCACACCAAAACUUGAGCCCCUGAUCCAACCAAAGCGCAUGAGUAAAGGAAAGGCCGCCAUCCCAUGUCUCCAUCUCCGGUUUUAUCGAUGGGAUCAUCGCCAUCAACAGCAGGUUGACAAGGAGGGAAAAUCGCGCUGCCAAAAGGACGUUGGCAACAACCGUACAACUAGGUACCUUCCCCAACCCUUCGCGACAAGGGCCUGCUCCACAUAGACACGGAUCCCCACACCUAAAGCAUAAUGAUUUCCUCCAUUACUAAUGAAGGUACGUAAACUCAAGAGAUCUACUAAUCUAAGUCUAAGAUCAUGUGUCCUAAUCCUGUUUCAAUUUUAAUCCUAAGUAAUUUCUAACAGUUUGUUAUCAGGAUCGGUAUAAAUAAAUAUACUCUUAAGUUAUAUGCAUGUACCAGUGCAAUUCCCACUGAUGAGCAUAACAUGGAAAGUCAAGAUAGAACUUUCAUCAUAAUCAUCUAUGGACAAACUAAUUCCGACCUAACAUGUCAGCAUCAAACUCUUGGCUGACUUAUAUAAAAGAUCAAAAUUACAAUGUAAGGAGAAGUUGUCAAUGACUUUGUUUUUCCUAUUGCAGCGCACGAGCAUAUUUUGCUAGUAAAUAUAAUAUAAAAAUAUAUCUUAUGAAAAAAUUAAUAAUAGUCAUUUGAUAUUAUAAAUAUUAGUAUUUUUUAUGUAUAGUCAAAUUUAAAAUGCUUUAACAUUAAUACUAUGCUAGAAGCCUAGAAUUGCAUUCUUAGGCUGUCUCCAACAACCACUGCCCAAACACAACACGCAUUCUCUGAUAUAGGUCGAGUACAGUGUAUAGGUUUCCCACCCAAAUCGCUCCUUCUCCAACAGAGUGCGCCCCAAAUCCUGCCGCCUACUCCCAUAGAUGGUUCACCUCUUCCACGCCGCCUGCUCCGCGGGCCGGUUGCCCCUCGCCGCGCUGGCCACGCCCCACCGCGGCCGCUCCUCGUCUUCUCCAUCUCCUUCGCAGGGGACAAGCGGGUGUAGGGCGCCGCCGCCAACCCCGCCGUAGAAGACGCCGCCGUCGGUGCUCCCACAGUCCACGCGGGCCCUGCCAUCUCCUCGCCUCUUCCUGCGGAAGCCCGAGCUAGGAGGUCGCCGGCUGCUUCAUCUUCUACAGCCGGAGAAGAUGGUGAGCGGCUCCGCCAUCGACGCUGCCGCCGUGGACAUGGCCCCACCAUCUCCUUGCCCUCGUAGAUGACUUAUGCGCGCUGGCUUCUCCUCCCUUUGCACCUCGCCAUGGGCCACUAUGCGCCACGGAUUAGAUUCUUUGCGAGCACGCGACGCUUCUUUGCGUUUCCAUUCGGCCGUUACCCAAAAUAGGUCAUGCGUUUGAGUCUUCCAUUGGAGGCUGAUUUUGGUAUGCAAAGUAUUGUGCAGGACCUAUUUUUGCAUUUGGGUCUUAUACAGUCUUAGAACAUAGUCAAUUGGAAAAUAAACUUGUUUUACCAUGUGUAACCAUAUCUUAUAUUUGAAAUUUCAUGUUGACAAAUAAAUAUUUAAUAGAAAAUUGCUCCCGUGCUUUUGUCAUAGACUCGUAGUUGACCGUACGAGAUCGGAAGGGACGAAACAAUCAGCUAUCGUCCGGAUUUUAUCCCCUACCUUUCAGGCUUGUAAACAACGCUGGCAAGUUUUAUCCAUAUUAUGAAGUUAUAUUUAUUAUAUUUGUUCAUUAAAACCAAUAAACUAAAUCGCUACUACCUCUCUUAUGUCCUGUAAUAUACUGUAUUUUAAAAAUUUUAAGACAAAUUUUUAAAAAAAUUAAGAGAAAACUUAAAAGUGUAACACCCCAAAAUUUGGUCCUUUCAAAAUAGAGCUAAAAUAAUUUAAUUUGGUAUUUUUGAGCUCAUGAAAAUAUAGGAAAAAUAAUAUUUUUUAGUAAAUUAAAAUUUAUCAUAAGGCAUAGUAAUAUUAUUAUGCAUACAUGUUGGUGCAUAAGAUUUGAUGUAAUGUUUGCUUAUUGCUUCUUUGUGUGUUGACAGUGAGUGGAGUGUUUAAAAUACGUUAGUAGGUCGAUCUCCCUUCUUCGGCACGGAUUUAUCUUUUUUUCUACAAUCAAAUUCCUUGUUUUCUAGCCUAUGCUUUUGUUUCGAGUUUCCCAAAAUCUUUUCUUUGUAACCCAAAUCAUUCCUUUCAGUUCCUCAACCAUCAAUCAAUCUCUAAAAACUGACCAAGAAUUAUUCUAACACUUUUUAAGGAACUUGUUCCCACUUGACUAUGAGCAUAAUCUAAUUUUUAGAUGCUCCGAAUUAUCUUAUCAUGAGCUCCAAAUACUUUAUUUGGGUUCCUCAUGUUUCAUAAUAUCUCCAAGAAUUUUUCCUGAAUUUUCAGAGCUUUUGAAAUAUUUUUCAUGAAUUAAAUAAUAAUUCUGGACUUUUCUAGAAAUAUCUUAUUCACAAAAAUAAUUAAUUUCGGAAAUAAUAAAUCUUUCAUUCUACCCCAACGCUGAGCCCAUGAUCUCAAAGGCCAAGGUAUUUAUUUACUAGUGGGCUUUAAUAAUUAAUUAGGCCUAUUAGUAAAGGUGGAAGGGGCAACAUCAAUUAGUACCAUAUUGCUAAUUGAUGUAGUUGUGGAGAGUUUUCCUCCAUAUAUAUAUAUAUAUAUAUAUAUAUGUACCAACCCCUUAGGUUAAGUACAUCAAAACUACGAGGAGCCCCUAGUUUGGGAAUUCCUAAGGUAGAUCAACAAGAAAGCCGACACCAUGCCCGAUCGCCCUCAGUCCUUGGUCCAAGGUCAAGCCGCCCUCGGCUGCUGUGUCACACCCGGUUUUAAGGAACAAAACCAGACUAGCUGUAUGUGUGUCCAGGAAGUCCACACAUACAACAACAGAAAGGAAUAGUAUCAAAAACAAUGUUGUAUAGCGGAAACAUACAUAUAAUAGACAUUUACAUCAGAGUAUCGCGGAAUGAUAACUAAUCUUUAGGCUCAAUCUUUACAGGGACGGCUGACUGGGGGUAACAUAUGCCUAACACUUCUUGUAUCCUAAUAACAUCCUUCGUGACUCCAUCACCCUUCUGAUCAACUCUUUCUAGUAGACUGGAGUGGUGAGAAAUAGCAAGAGUGAGCACAUAUCGUACUCAACAAGUAUAACCAGAGGUUCAUGAGGCUCAAAUAGCUGACACUGGUUUGACUGCAUUUAGCUUUUAAUAGUGGAUAGCAUGUUCUUAAUUAAAUAGCAAUUGUCAAGGUAGCAUAAGUAAUCCAUUAAUCCCAUGAUCAAGUGUAAGCAUAAUUAAUUCAUAGCAUAAACGAUAGUCAAAUAAACAUAACAACUUAAUAAGCUCAUCGUCGGCGCAGCAAGAACCCCCAAGGCCGCUCAUAACCGUGAGCAUGGCUAGUAUACCAGUUUUACACUCUGCAGAGGUUGUACAUCUUUACCCAUGAGUCAUGAUUUACCCUUUCGCCCGAGGUAGCUAAUCUCUUAACCCCCUUCCUAGGGAGGUCGGCAGGGAUCACUAUGAAGCCUUUCAAAAGUUCGUCUAACAUGUUAGGGCCGCAAGGUUUCCUUUGCGAGCAGAUAUAGAUACCCCCCUUCCGAAUGGCACAAUGACGCGCAGCCUAUACACAUAGGGACAGGGGCUCGCACUAUACCCGUGUCGGUUCAGCCCCUCCGCCCUUUCGGGUAACCUCUAACAAGCUAAAAAAGGUCUUCAUACUGAGCUAAAGCCAGAGCCAUUAUAGCCCUCAUGGUUGCACUGUUGUCCCGGUGAUCACUUACAGACAAGAUCUCAUAUAGUUAUUUGUCAUCAUUUAACGUUCAUUGCAUAGCUAUUAAUCAUCUUACAAGAUCAUAGAUUAUAUCAAGCACUAGCACAUCUACACCAAAUGCAUAUCAAGUAGGUAGCAAGGAAUACAGGUAACAAUCAUCUAUGAUUUUGCUAAGGUCGACAAGAUGAUAGCAUGCAUAUGAUAUAUAUGUGUAGUUAUAAGUGAAUAGGUAACAAGGAUGAUCCCAAGUUAUACUUGCCUUAAACACUUGCUUAAUUCUCACACCAUUAGCUUUUGGUCAUCAUCUUCUGAUCUUCAGCGCCCACAAACGGUUCUCGUCUACUCGUAGCAAGCACCACACAUAGGCAAACAUACAAGCAACAAACAGAAAUAACUAAGAACAGUACACCACACAAGAUCACGCAAUGUACUAAAGGAGAACAAAUUACUACAGGCACAAGAUGACAAAAAAACGCCGAUAACAGAACUACGCUUAAAACAAACGACUAUGAGAAAAUUCACAUCAUAACAGUAAAGACUAUAUGCUUGCUUUAUUAUAAUUACAAAACCAUAUGAAGUAUAUUAAUUCAGAUUAGUCACUAUGCAUUUCAAUUGAAAGACCAAGUUUUGAAUCUAGUAAUUUUAAUUAUAGAUAUUUUAAUGCCUUUUUAUAUACCAAUCAAUUAUACUUUAAUUUGCAAAAACAAAGUAAUAUUUGAGAGCAUAUAAUUAAUGGAAUUUUAUCUGAUGCAUUGUUAAACUAAGCAAGUUAUAAAUUAAAAAUAUAUUUCUAUAUUGUUUUAAUUUAGAAAGCAGUGUGAACAGAGAGUAGUCAAAAUUAAUAAAUAAAUUAAAAAUUUUAGAAAACAUGAAAUACGUUCAGAUGCGACAUAGAAAUAAUAGAUUAAGAUGGGACUAAAGCGAUUCAGAUAUGAUAGGAAUAACAUAAUUGAGCAUAUAUAACUACGGAGACUCAAUGGUUGCCUGAACAAGUAUACACAAAAUGUAUUUUUUUUCUUGAUUGAGGAAUAGAUAGAUAAUGCUAAUUUAUUAUGCAUGAAUGACAUACUCAUGACAUCAGCAUAAGGGUUAAUCAAUAAAAUAAUAUGGCAAGGGACUAAUCUGGCCGCUAACCUUCAGUUAAUCAGGAUGCACAUUUGCAUGCUGCACGAUAUAGCUUUCCUGGAGUAGCAAGGAUUGGGCAAUCGUACGUCAUGCAGUUGCAGCAGCUGAGAUGACUUUGUGCUUGGUAAAAGCGUGAAAUAACAGCAUGUCUAGCUUCAUGGUUGGAUUGCAUGCAGUUACUAGAUGACAACUGCCCGUACAGAGAAGCACAAAUUCAUGGAGGUGCUCACCGAACAUAGAACGAUGAUGGAGAUGGCAGCCAGCUUGGACAUCCCACAUACGUGGUGCUCCAUGGACUUGAGAGCGGAGAUCAUGCAGAGCAUCUAGGCAUGGCUGAUGGCUACGGGCAGUCUUCACUUAGAUCAAUUAGCUCCCAUGGUGAACAGAUGACAAUGAGCCAUGGAUCGAGAUCAACUCUGUACCUGCUUGGCAAAACUUCCCGGCGGCGCGGCAAGAUGGAGGUGCGGCGCAUGAUGAGAGUUAGGGCAUAGGAUGGAUGAGAAAUUAACCAAAUAGGACAUAAAGAUAUGUAUAUGUACUGUUUGUGUGGGUUUAUUAUGGCCGAGAUAUACGUGUUAACGUUUCUUCACGUACGAGUCCUGAGUUGACGUGGUGGUCGAGUCCAUCUUCAACACGUACGACAGUAGUGGUGGUUGUCCACGCGACUUCAUAUGGUAGUAUAUAUACUCCGUAUAUAUAUUUCUCAUGCUUGGGAUAAGAAUUAAGAAAAAAAAUGGGCAUGCAGCAAAGCAGGGACACGAUAGAGGGAGCGUACAAGAUAGGAGAAGGAAACAAAAAUAAAGAAACUUGCAUCUGAGUAGAAAGCUAAUUGAACCAGUUAUUUGCUUCCUGAAACAUCACGUCAAAACUUAGAUCCAAUGAAACAAGAAAACAAUAGAUAGGGCAAGUAUUAAUGGGAGAGAGAGGGUAGUACGGGCCUUCUUCUAUCCAAUAAUAAAAGAGUAAAAAAAAUGUUUGGCCAAAAGUGAUUUAGGGUCAAGAUUAAUUCGGAACAAUUUGAAAAUUAACAUUUUUCUACAACUAAAUUUGCACUAACUCAAACUAAACUUAGUAAAUUUUAUACAAAUAUCGAAAUAUUUAUUUUUGUUAAUAUUUUCUAUGCACAGCCCAAAAUCAAAAUUUUUAGGGUGUGACAUGCUCUCCACCAGCCGAAACUCUAAUUGGCCAAAGUCAAGUUCACGUACAACACAAGGAAGAAGGUGCAUGUUCUGCAGCUCAUCUAUUCAUUCAAUUAUUCCAAAAAUCCAUACCAUCUUAAUCGUGUAUCAUUUAGUUAUUCUAAGUCUAAUUUAAUCCAUUCAACCAUGUUAGAAUUUUGUAGAUUUAAUCUACGUACUAGUACCUGUAUCUUCACGUGUUGCGCUAUAUUUAUAAAUCUUAUUAAUUUAAAUGCUAGAUUGAUUAAUGUUUAUGUACAAUUACUUUUCUAAUUUAGAAGCGAACAUACUAAAUAUUUCUGAAUUUUAUAAUCUAAAAUAUACUAAACGUUGAUGUUUGUGUGCAACUGGUUUUCUAAUUUAAAAUCCCUAUAGAUUUUAUAUUUUGGUGUUUUAUAUAUAAAUAUUAAUAUGGUAAGUUACUAACAUAAUCUUAUUUCUAAAUAAUAAAUUGCUUAGCUCAAACAUGUUUCAUAUAUGAAAUUCUAAUUAGACUAAAUACUCUCACAUAUUUAUUUCUUUUGCAAUUUGCAAAGAUAAAGCUUAAUAAUUUAUUUAGUAAAUUAGGUGAUAACAUUUAUAAAAAAAUAUAUGAUUAGCAUCAACUCAGAUUUCAAGUUUAAAUAUGAUUUAUUUUGAGUUAAUGUUACUCACAUUGUUUUUCUUAAUUAAUAUAAAUCAAGCUUAUAGUUGUUUGAUUUACGGUAUAAAUUAUUUUGGCAAUUGUUCCUUUUACAUCGUAGCUUCGACCUCGAUGGUUCUUGCGUUUUUGUGACCGUGAUCAAAUUAGAGUGCUUUUCACGUCUUUGUGUCCGUAGCGAUAGAUUAGUUUUUAAACCUUUUUAUUGUUUGGUGUACUGUACUAAUUAUAGCUUUGUUUGCUUCAUGUAUGUUUGGCUCCUGUUUGCUUGUGUGUUGCUAUUCGAUGAUCGAGUUUAGACGGUGAGCAAUUCGUAAUGAACAAGAGUGCUUUAGUGAUCAAGAUCAGAGCCUUGACAACUAGUAAGACCAACAGGAUCAACAAGAGCAUUUGGAUUAAGGCAAGUAUAGCAUUUGGAUUUUAUUUCUGUGACCAUGAUCGUAUGACUAGAUUAAUGUUAAGUAAUAAACAAUAAAAAUGACUGUUUAGCAACUUAAGGAUUUAUCUGUACGUGAUCACCCGGGACAACAGUGCAACCAUGAGGGCUAUAAUGGCUCUGGCUUUAGCUCAGUAUGAAGACCUUUUCUAGCUUGUUAGCGGUUACCCGAAAGGGCGCUAGAGGGGCUGAACCGACACGGGUAUAGUGCGAGCCCCUGUCCCUAUGUGUAUAGGCUGCGCGUCAUUGUGCCAUUCGGAAGGGGGUAUCUAUAUCUGCUCGCGGUGGAAACCUCGCGGCCCUAACAUGUUAGACUAACUUUUGAAAGGCUUCAUAGUGAUCCCUGCCGACCUUCCUUGGUAGUGCGUUAAGAGGCUGAUCACCUCGGGCGAAAGGGUAAAUCAUGACUCAUGGGUAAAGAUGUACAACCUCUGUAGAGUGUUAAAACUAGUAUACUAGCCGAGCUCACGGUCAGGAGCGACCUUGGGGACAUCUACAUUAAGGGUGAUGAAUCUUGUGUGUUAAAUAUGCUCAUUGUUUAUUGUUUAAUGCUCAACAUUAUUUAUGUCGCAUUGAUCAUGAGAUUGUGGGAGCUAUACAAUCUAGUUGCUAUACUUGUGGAGUUCGACAUGGACUCACUCUUGCUAUUUCCCCACACCCCUCAGGAGAAGUUUUGGGCUUGUGAUCAACCAGUCAGUUGGAUCCUGUAGAGAGAAGUUAAUACCCGAAGUUUGGAGUUGUCUAUCCGCUGUUUGCUAUCACAGGUUAUAUCUUUUAUACUAAGUACGUUAUAUAUUUAUGCAUUGUCUUUUGAUAUUACCCUUAUUUGUAACUAUAUGUGAGACUUGGCUUCUAAAACUCACAUAUAGUGCAUAUCUGAUUUUGUCCUUAAAAUCGGGUAUUACAAAAAGACACAUAUCUAUUUUAUUUUCUAAUCAGACGAUAUCAACAACUUGAUUAAUGAUGAUUGAUUAAUAAAUAAAAGUACUUAAUGUAAAAAUUUGUUUUUCCCCAUAGAAUAUAUUGUGUUUAUUUAAAGAUAAAUUUUGAACACUGAAAUGAACUAUACUAGGUGAAUUCCCCGCGCGUUGCUGCGGGAUUUUUUUAAAAAUAAAUUAUUAUAUACAUAACAUUACUAUAUGGUAUUUAGUCUAUUAUGUAUGUAUACAUAUGAAUUGGACUUGCAUGUAUUUUAUUGUAUUAGAUUAGUAAAAAAUUGCUAAGCUAAUAAAACAAAAACUAAUAUUUGAUUACAUUAUAGAGGAAUUAAUUGGUGAUAAAACAAAUAAUGUAUGUACAUGACUUGUAUGUGAAUAUAUUAAAGAUUUAAAGUAUUUCACAUAAUAUAGAUGGCAUGGUUAUUUUUUUAUAAUUAAUAUGGAAUGACAUGGACUUAGUGGGGAAUGAUGUGGACAUCUUGCAUGAAGAGAUAAAAUAUUUAGUGGGUCACUUAGUGGGAAAUGAUGUGGCCACCUUGCAUGAAGGGAGAAUUCAUCUAAUGGGGUUUAGCUUUAUAAGAGUUAUAGAUUACAUGAUGGAGGGAGUAUUUACUACCCAACCAAAGAUCCCUCUACCGUUGUGUUUGAUAUUCCCGCGCACUACAAGUUAUCAUUGGUAUCCAAAGAUGGAGGAGACGAUAAUCUAUUUUGUCCGUACACACGCGUCAGCCUUUUGACCAAGAUAUUAUUUCUGUAUUUUUAUUUGUAUAUACGAUUAUAAGACAGCGAUAGGCAACGGAAUGAGACAUCGAAGGAACGGAAUAUAGACGAAGAUGUACUAUUAUGUAUACUAUACCUUCACACUAAAUUAGCUGAUAAUAUAAAUUCUGUAGGAGUAUAUACGCUGAUAAGUACACAGCCAAACAGACGAAGUUGACACGUCCAUGGUUGAUGACACCUUCGCACUAACGAACGACCACAUACGAACAAAUUAAUGAAUUGACUUUGAAAGAAGUAAAAGAAGCCAAAACAAUUUAUUUUUGUCGAACCAAGAAAUUUGGUCUUUGUUCCAAAUUUCAUCAAAAACUUGUUCGUUCUAGCAAACUCAAGUUAUAUCGUGCUAUAUCCUGUAAUAUAGUGAAUUUUAAAAAUUUUAAAACAUUUUUUCUAAAAAAUAAGAGAAAAUUUAAAAGACACAUGUACGUUUAUUUUAUUUCCUAAUUAGACGGUAUCAUCAACAUGAUUAAUGGUGAUUGAUAGAUAAAUGGGAAGUAUUUAAUGUAACAUUUUGUUUCUUCCAUAGAAUAUAUUGUAUUUAAAGAUAAAUUUUGAAUGCGGAAAUAAAUUAUAUAUACUAGGAGGAUUUUCUGCGCGUUGCCGCGGGUAUGAAGCAGUAAUCUAUAUGUGUGGUGUUAGUAAUGCAGGAACAUGAUAUAAUAUAUGUGUAGAUUUAUUAGUAUAAUCGUGGACAUUAUAUCUAUAGUGGCCGGUGUUUCUAGCUGAUGUUGAUAUCAUAAUUCUUGUAUCAGUGAACUUUAAUUGCAAAUAAUAGUGGAUUGCUGAGGUGGACACCUUGCAUGUCAAGAGAAAUUGCUAGUGACAAAUUAUAAUGGAUUGUUGAGGUGGACGUCUUGCAUGUUAAAAGAAAUAGCUAGUGGGAUUUUACUUUAUAAGAGUUAUAGAAGUGGAUUGAUGAGGUGGACAUCUUACAUGUCAAAAGAAAUUGCUAGUGACAAAUUAUAGUGGAUUGCUGAGGUGGAUGUCUUACAUGUUACGAGAAAUAGUUAGUGGGUUUUUGCUUUAUAAGAAUUACAGAUUACAAAAUGGAGGGAGUAUUUAGUACCCAACCAAAGAUCCCUCCACCGUUGUGUUUGAUAUUCCCGCGCACUACAAGUUAUCAUUGGUAUCCAAAGAUGGAGGAGACGAUAAUCUAUUUUGUCCGUACAUACAUCAGCCUUUGGCCAAGAUAUUAUUUCUGUAUUUUUGUUUGUAUAUAUACGCUUAUAAUGUGGCUCGCGAUUUUGUCGAGUCUACGUUUCUUAAUGACAGGCCAUGAGGCCCAAAGUGAACUCAAAAAGACAGCGAUAGGCAACGGAAUGAGACAUCGAAGGAACGGAAUAUAGAUGAAGAUGUACUAUUAUGUAUACUAGUACACCUUCACACUUAAUUAGCUGAUAACAAAAUUCUGUAGGAGUAUAUACGCUGAUAAGUACAGCCAAACAGACGAAGUUGACACGUCCAUGGUUGAUGACACCUUCGCACUAACGAACGACCACAUACGAACAAAUAAAUUAAUGAAUUGAUUUUGAAAGAAGUAAAAGAAGCCAAAACAAUUUAUUUUUGUCGAACCAAGAAAUUUGGUCUUUAAACUUGUUCGUUCUAGCGAACUCACGUUUCUAUAGCAAUGAUAAAACUUUUGAACUUACACAAUGCAGGGAAAACCUAAAGGCAAAGUGAAAGCAAAAACAGUCCUUAACAUAGUGAAAGGUUGACAUUGGAAGAUUUGAUGCGGGUCCGAAGUUCCAAAGAUUGUAAGUCGAAGUCGGAAAAAAUAACUCGACCUAUGGGGGUAAGACAGCCCCGGGUAUUGUGUUUAAGAAAAAAAAAAUUAAGUCGAGAAAAUCCCUAAACCUCUACCUUACCCAUACACAAUGGUAUCACAGCUCCUAUGACGCUGGCUGAUCUUAGACCUGUACUUUAACAUAGAGCAGACGAGAAGAUUUUGUCAACAUGCAGAUAAACUAACGCCUCCUCCCAUCAACAAAUCCGCCUUCCAAAGAGUUCGAACUGUGGCCGGUAGGAUGCAAAGCGCACCGUCCAAGCAACUGGUCUAGCGUAUAUCAGAAGUAGGUCGUAAAUUCCAAACAAGACUGCUUCAAAUCAACUCUAAAAAAUUUGAAAUUUUGUACAAACCUUGAAUAAACCAUUUAUAAAAGAUAACCCCCAAGAGAUCAAUACUACCACGUAAAGCAUUUUGCAUGCGGCCACAUUUGUUUUCCACAUACGCCCAGCAAAGUCUGCCUCCAAGUCUAAGCAUCAAUGAUUCUGAUUUUUUUUUUUUUUUGAAGAUGCUUGUCUGUGAAAAUAGGUUUAGAAAAUAAAAAAAGGGCCUAGGCCCGGCGUCGAACUCGCUUCCGGAAGCGUCGCCACCGCUGCCCAUCCACUCUAAACACGCGGCUGUCGUCACCGAGGCCGCUCGCAGCCAGGUAGCCACCCCACUGUCGCCGGAUCUUGCUGUGGAUCCCUCCACCGCCGGAUCAAGCCAUGGAUCUCUCCAUUGUGCCGCCGUGAGGCCGUGUCACUGCGCACUCCUGCGUUGCGCCACGCCGUUGCGAGGCUCCUGGGUGCCAAUCUAGAUAACCCGGGUUGUCAUCCACUCGAUCGACCUGUCUUAAUAUAAACCAAAUACUGAGGACCCACAGGAAAGUAUCAUCUGCACCUCGUCUUAAAGACCUUUUACAGUUGAGUUACACCAACGAGCCAAUCAUCAAGCGACUUACAACACAAUCUUAUAGUGAACAAAAAAAUUUCAAACUAAAACAUCAUUGACCAUAAAAGAAAUUAACCUGCAAGAAGACAUCGGACGAGUUGGAGAUGAGCUCACUUGAUUGGAUUGGGAGAGCGUGUGAGAGUGAUUAGAGAUAGAGAGCUUUGAUGAGUGAUCCAACUGUGGAUUAGUAUCAUACUAGUUUUUAUCUAGACAUGUGAGGGUGUUAGGUCCUAGGGUUAAGGUUAAACAUUUUAAACUUCAAAAUAUUCAUCAGAUGCUCCAUCAAUUAUGAUGGACUCUCCUUCAAAAAUAUUCCCAAAGCUAGCAAGUUUGGGUUCGGCUAUAAGAGAAUUGAUGGAUGAUCCGAUAAACUUGUCGGACGAUCCAAAAAAAUGGACGAUAUGUGGUUCUAGGAACAUGCCACAGAACGAUCGGUGGGUGAGCUGUGUUUCACAGACACUCCGCGGAAUCGACAUUUGCUCCAUGGUGAACUAGGUGCUACCGAGUUCUCUGGAAACCAAUUUUAGUUAUUGACGCGCAGUCCAUGGAUCCUCAUGAAUGUUCCAUGAACAGUGAAGACUAAGUGUUUGGCUGUGAUUUCUGGCCAAGCGUUGUGGUUGACGUAUGAUCUGUAAGAUGUGAUGGAUGCUUCAUUAGUGCAUUCACACAAGUUAUGUGUUUUAUCAUUCAUGGUGUUUAUGUGUGAUUUAAGUCUAGAUCAUUGGUGAUGUUCAUCAUGUAUGUGCAAGGGGUUAGGGUUGUUUAGGUGACAUGUUGGGCUACUGAUUGCUAGGGUUGAGCUCUAGUUACCAUGUGCAUCAUAGUGAUCUGUGGAUCAAAUUAAUCAUGAGAAAAGAGAAAUUAAAUCAUGAGAAUGGGCAUGGCAAUAUAUCUUUAAGAAUUUGAUGACCUCUAGGCCACCAAGAUCAGAUAUGGGGUCUUGCUCAACCUUGCUUCCAAGAAAAAGAGAUGGAUUGGGGAAUUCAUGAGAUUUCUUGCAAAAAUCCACAAAAUUGCAUUGGGGAGAAACUUGAGAGAUCCCUGAGAGGAUUGAGCUAGAGAUGAUCUUAGCUUACACUUGAGAUGAUGGAGCAACUUCCAAACUUCACAUAUUGCAUCCAUGCAUGAAAAAAAUCAUGCAUGGAUGUAAUGUGAAGUUUGGAAGUUGCUCCAUCAUCUCAAGUGUAAGCUAAGAUCAUCUCGAGAGAGGAUUUCAAGAAAAAUGAGAGAAAGGCUUUUGAUUUCACCAUAGAUUGAGGUUGAGAUGGAGAAGCUGAUGAGAUUUGUGAUCAAUGCUGACCUUUGCUUCUUAUCCUUCCUUUAUUUCCCUUCUCUUCAUCUUUCUCACUUUCUCUCUCUAGUUCUUGCCUUGUUCUUCAUGUGUUGAGAGAGGGGGAUAGGGAAUGGGUAAGAGAGUAAGCGGGAUGGGGCAUGUUUGCUGAAGGCCUUUCCCAACUCGUGCUGACAAGUGGGUCCACUUGUGAGAGAAUGGAGGACAGCUCAUUCCCAACUUGAUUCUACUAAAGUCAAGUUUUGAUGAAUGAUCUGUCUAUUCAGAUAGGCACUCUGUCAAUAUGCUAAUUAUGAGAAAUUGAUUUAGAGAAAUGGUUCUUAGAAUUUAGAAUUAGGGCCAUUCUUCUUGUCCUAGGUGUUGAUAACCACUUAGGGAGAGACUAGAUAAGUCAACUAUACCCUUCCUCCACUAUCUUCUUGAAGUUGACCGUUAGUUGGUCAUCGAUGACUCUAGGUUGACUCUGGCUUAAGAGGAUCGAUAAGGUUGGUUAGCAAAUUUGGAGUCCUUAUCCUAGUUAAGAGCACUAGGAAUCCUUCAAGAGAAUAGCAAGUUGAUUCUUGGAAGUUUGAGGGCUUAUGCAAGGUGAUCAAAGAGGUUCUUAAGAAGGGUUUUAGUUGGAAUGACUUCUGGUCAUGACAAUUGCUGCCUUCAAUUCGCUCAAGAUCCAUGGUGGAAAAGAUUUCCAAACCCUAAGUCAUUUUGGGCCUGGUGGAGGCACGUCGUGAGAGAUGAGAGCGGGGAGGAGUUCCAAACCCUAACUCUAUCUUAUAUAUGUCACAAUCAUAUUGAGCUCGAUGGCUCCGAGCAUGUUUCUAGAGGUGGGCCGCCCACCUUUGUAAACGAAUUACAGAGAUAGAUGUUUUUGGACUGCCUCCUUAAGUAGAGCUACCACCACCGAAAAUUAGGAUCUUUUUGGGAGGCACUAAGAAUUUCUAACCACCUCCAUUAAUAAAAUCCCUUAUCUCCUAAAAUAUUUUAUGUAGUAGUGCAAGUCUAAAAGAUAAAAGCUUGAACAGAAAAUUCAAAAUCCUUAGUCUCAAAUUGGAGUUUUGUCAAUUUUCCUCCAAAUGGGGAUUUCUAUGUGCUCGUGGGAAAUCUGCCUAAGGCAGCUAUGUUUAUUCGUGAGCCCCUAUAGCACCUAAAGAUCAUUCAACGAUGUCCCAAAUACCUGAGCACAAAUAACUUCGAGAAAAUAACCUCAAGAAAUGGUAUUUUUAGAAGCAAAUUAGCUCGCCAACUGCCUCUAAGAGCAACUCCAACACUACCCUAAACUUCACUUGGCAAAUCUUGGAUUUUGCCAAGUGUAAAGCUCAAAUGCCAAGUGAAAAAAAGAGGCUUCUCCAACAGUUAGCUAUUUUUUUGGCAAAUUUGGACUAUCUUGUGAUUCCUGAAAAAAUCAGAGGGACUUUUAUGCAAAAGUUGCAAUCUAUUUAAGGCAUGCGUGCAUGCUGAAUGUGUGGGUCCCACCGCGUAGGCAGGAUGCCAAGCGCUCCCAACGCUCCUAAAUUUGAGCCAGUUGGCCCUCUUUUUGCCAAGCAUCCUAUUUUGUCAAGUGCAUAUAGGGUAGUGUUGGAGGAGCUUUUUCCAUGUUUUGCCAAAAAUUAGGAUUUGCCAAGUGCAUAUAGGGUAGAGUUGGAGUUGCUCUAAUAAAAUAGCAUACAUUUCUAGAGGCGGCUGGAGUUGUCUCUAAAAAAUUGAUUUUUAGAGACGAGUUGACUCAAAAACAAUUUUUAAAGACAGAUUUUUAUAAAGUAGCCUCUACCCAAAAAUUGAGACGUCUCUAAAAAUGGACUAUGACUGUAGACCUGUAGCUGGAGCAGGCUUGGUAUUUGUAGUUUAGAAGUUGCAGCGGCAGCGAGAGUUGGUGUGGCUUGUACCAUACUCCUAUUAAGUAAAGGAAAAUUGAUAGUAGUAUACAGCCUAAUGAGACAUAGACCAAUCUAUUUCAUUUUUGUACUCAUUAGAUAAUCGUUUAAUCAUUUCGCAAAAAGAAAAAAAUGGAUAGACACACUUAAUAAUACACAGAGUGAUGAAACAAUAUAACAUAAGCACAGGAUAAAAUAUGAGUACAUUUAUUGUCCUUAGCACAGACUGAUACACUAUAAUUAUAAUCACUCUCUCCGGUACAAAUUAAGCAGCAACAGGGACACAGUUCACAUCACAAAUCAUCUGAUUAAUUUGGUAUAAGAUUAUUGUAAGGUUUGGCCAUGAUCCAAAGCAUGGACUUCUUUCUUAACGUUAUCCCAAAGAUCUCUGCCAUAUCAAAUUCUUCCAACUUGACGCCAUCAGGUAGAGUCCAAUCAAAAUGGUAAAGAAGGCUAACAAGAGCCAGCUCUAGAUUGGCCAAACCAAGCGUUAUGCCAGGGCAUAUUCUCCUACCUGACCCAAAGGGAGUGAACUCGAAGUCAUUACCUCUAAAAUCGACACUACUAUUUUCAAAUCUUUCUGGCCUAAAUUCCUCUGCAUCAUGCCACAAUUUUUUGUCCCUUGCUAUUGCCCAAGCAUUCACGAACACCUUGGUUCCCUUUGGAACAUCGUAACCCAUAACCUGACAUGAUUCACGACCUUCUCGAGGGAGCAACAGUGGUACUGGAGCAUGCAACCGUAAAGUCUCCUUGAUCACCAGCUGUAGGUAUCUCAAUUUGAUCAAAUCACCUUCAGUUAUCUUGUCUUGUCCUUUGAAGGCCUCCCUCACCUCUGAUUGGGCCUUAUGCAUGACUUGUGGAUUCCUAACAAGCUCUGACAUUGCCCAUACUAGAACAGUUGAUGAUGUUUCACUCCCAGCAGAGAAAAUAUCCUACAAUACAAUGUUAUAGUUACAAUUUGUAAAAGGGGACAUUCACAUUUUAAUUCUCAUGAGAAUGUAAUCAGUAAACAUAAGAAUGUAAAAAAAGAAUGUAGGUCAUAAAUUAUAUUCUUGUUCACAUUUUUAUUGAGUGCCAAUCGUGCAGAAUUAAUUAAAUUCUUUUUUAUCAUUUUAGUAAAUAAGAAUUCAAUUUAUAACCUAAAUUCUUAUUUUAUAAAAUACAAAAGAGUUCUAACUAAAAUGAAAUAAGUACAUAUAAGAUUUUCAACUUAACUUGAGGAUUAAGAAACUACAUCAACUAACAAAAUCAAAAUUUAAAAUCAAGAUCAAAUAUGUCAGGUGACAUGGCUAGCAAUAAGAGAUACCAUAACUUAAGCUAUGGUUUUAACUAAAUGUGUAUUGAAGACAAAUGGACGUGCCACGCACAGAGAAAGAGAAAUUAUAAAUAUGGAUAAAAAAUAUAAGGAAUAAUUGAUAAGUUGAUCUCACCGGUAAAGAAAGAAAUAUCUAUAUUGUGUCAAAAAAAAGAAUAAAAAUAAUAGCACAAGGAUAAUUAAUUUGUUUAGUUGUAGGUACUAAACAUGGACUACGAUACCAAAACUUAUUUAGUGUAAUAAAAUUCCAUUUGCCUAAUGCUAAACUAGAAAUAAAUUAGAGACCAUUAAUAAUGGAGAGGUUUUGUAGGAGUGUGGUGUUAGAUAACUAGAAGAUAUCUCGCGCAUUGCUACGAGAAUCGCAAAGAACUUGCUUGGAAUGAAAUUAAAAGAAGAUAAUGUGAAUAGCUUGCAACUAAGGGUCCAUUUGGUAGGAUUUCUCCACCGGCUUCAGUUUGUUUGAAGCCAUUUUCUGCCACACGGUAUAAAAUAAAACGGCUUUGCUAGUGAAACUCCUUAAAACCAGCUUUAUAAGAGCGGAUCUCACCCAAAUAACCGUGCUGACAAUCUCGUUGGUGAGAGCGAACUGCAGGCCACCAUCCCUCUGCAGCCUCAGGAGAACACCCAGAAGGUCCUCCUCGUCUCGCUCUGGCGCCGUCGCCAUGGCUUCAGCUUCACGCUCAUGAAUGAUGCUCCGGAUGAUCCGGUACAUGUUCCUCUGGCACCUCCUCGCGUCCCUCGCGGCGGCGCUGAACCGGCGUACCAGCUGCGAGGACGGGUACAGGUCCGCCAGGUUGAACCCACCAAACAGCCGCACCACUUCGUCUAGCUCAUGCAUGUACUCAUCCCGGUACUUGCACCGGUCGCCGACGACCGUGCGCGCGGCGACGUCGUUUACCAUGCGGCAGAUCCCGUCGCUGAGGUUGACGGGCCGCUGGCCGUCGGCAGACUCCCUGGAGACGGAGCGGAGGAGGUUCGCCACCUCCUCUUCCCGGAUGUUCCGGAACGUGAGCACGCGGCGCUGGCUGAAGAGCUCCACCAUACACAGCUUCCGGAGCUCCCGCCAGUGGGCGUUGUAGGCGGAGAAGAUGAUGUCCUUGCCGCCGCAGCUAAUGAUCUCCAUGGUGACGCUCAGGUUGCGGUCGCAGAAGGUGAGGUCGUGCGUCCUCAUCACCUCCCUGGCGGCCUCGGCGGAGGAGACCACCAGCGUGGGCACGGCGCCGAAGCGGAGCAUCAUGAGGGGCCCGUAGGUUCCGGACAUCUCGCGCAGCGCCCGGUGAGGCAGGUCGCUGAAGCGCGACAGGAGGAGGUGGUGCAGGCUGCCGAUGAGCGGCAGCUGCCAUGGCCCUGGUGGCAGGCGAAGCGCUGGUGAUGGCUUCGUGCGUGAGGACGUGACGUAGCUCCGGAUGAGCCUGAGGAGGAGGAGGGCGAGGAGGACGACGAAGGCUAGAAACUGGAUUCUCAUCAUGUCCAUAUUUUUGCCGGGGAUGGGACAAGUUUGCAGCCAACUGCGUCUCGACAACAUCGAUGACACGUAUUUAUACUAGGGGCUUGCUACCUGAAUUCUAGUUAUAUAUAUUUAUAAUACUAAUAAAAGUGUCCUUGCAACAAGUAAAAAGGUAUAAUGUUAUCCAUAGUUUUUUAUCUUGAAAAUAAUAAUUUUUCAUUUACAUCAUUAUAUUUUUAUUGCACUCAACAUGAUGCUAAAAAAGCAUAUCAUCACACUAUAAAAAAACAAGUUUUUAGGGUUUCUUCCUCUAUAAUAACCGUUCGAUUUGUACGCCGUGCUAUAUGAGUCCUACGUCAUGUAUGAUCUUACUUUUUUGUAUAACAACCGUUCGAUCUAGAUGUCAUGCUAUAUGAGCCCUCCAUCAUCUAUGAUCUUACAUGUAAGAUUUAAGACCCAUAUUCAAUCUCACAGUAAUGCUACCCAUCAUAAGUCAUAUCCUUCUCUCUUGUGUACUGUCGACUCCCUGAUUUUGACUCGACAUAUUUUUCUUCUAUUUAGUAAUCAAUUGCUUCUUCAUCGUGUAACUUUUGCUAAAGUCGAGACCAAUAGCACACAAUUAAUCAAUAGGAGUACAAACCAAUAACGGUAAAAUUAUUAAGAUAGAAUCAUACUCAUGUAUUCUAACGGAAAAAAUAAUAACUUGAUAGUCACUUGCCCUCCAUAUACAAUGGUCAUUUGCACCGACACGGAAGCUAGCAUUGCUUGAUUUGGCUAGUGUUGAUAUACGAGGCGGACACACAUGGCUACCUUUGCGUGCAUCUUCUUGGCUUCGACAUACUGGUCGUGUGUUUUUUUCUUUUGCUAUUUUCUAGCUAUUUAACAAUUAGUUGUUACUAUCAGCGUAAUUUGUGUAAUUUUUUAUUUGUUUUUCUGAAUUUUAUAUAUUAGUUAUUUAAAAGGAAUGAUUUUAAAUAAAGUUUAUAUUUUAUAAUAAAAGACGUUUCUUCUUUACAUACCGUUUUCAAAUUAUGGCCUGCUUUUUGAUUUUUGGCCUUUUUCUUCUUAUAGCUGUUGCAUGCCCAAUUGCCCAUGGUAAAUCCCAGCGUGUUGCCUGUUGGUUAUGCAAAGUUGUAGGUAGGCUACGCGUUGUCCUUUUCCCAAUUUGAUUUUUUUUACCGUUCGGAGCACGGUUCAGAGGUGUAGAUAGAUAGAGAUAAUUUCCAAACUGAAGAGGGUCGACUUUAAAAACCAUAAUUCGAGUAGAGAUUGGAGUUGAAGGAAAAAUAUUACGGAUCGAAGCCUAUACGGACUGGAUAGGCGAAAAAAAGAUGUCUGCUGGACUGAAAUUUUCAUAAUUAUAUAUUAGAAGAAAGAUUGUAGAUUUCGUUCAUUUUAAUUUUCUAGACAUAAUUUAUAAUUUUCGGUACCGAGAAUAAAAAUUUGUUAGACAAAAUUAUAAAUCUGACAAAUGUAUUUGAUCAAAGUUAAUAUUGUUUGACUCCUGAUAAAUGAGAAUAAGCAUUCUUUUAGGCACGGACAAAGAAAUUUAUCCACAAACAUGCGUGAAGAUGUGCUGUACAUACUAUGUACCCGUACUCCGUGAUGUACAAAACUAGGACCAGCAGAGGCUAAUUGUCUCUAUAGCAGCAGGCUACAAUAAUUUGUCUCCGUGGUCCAAAACGUGGGAAGCCUGUUAAGUGGUUGUUUGGUUCACAUAUUUGUUCACUUGUCUAAGUUGUAUUUUUUCUAACAGCCAACAGUGUUUUUCUUUCAUAAUAAAUCAGCGAAGAAUAUUUUCAACUAUAACUUUUCAGAUCAGCGAACAUGCUAGUCUCAUUUACUUUCAUUUAGUCAUUUUUUAUCUAAACACUAUAACUAAAUGAGGUUAAAUGGACUUUAGUCAUCUCUAGCAAUUCUGGAAUAACUAAAUAAGACUAAACUAUUUAGAAGGGACUAAAGUUUAGCAGCCCGAAAAACACCCGUGAUGUCCAUCCAUCCAUUAUAUAAGUUGUUGCUAGGCAGCUAGGGUCUUAGUAUUUUCGUUUUAUUUUAGUAAUUAGUAUCUAAUUAUGGAAUCUCUAGAUUUAAAAGAUCCAUCUCAUAAUUUAUAGAUAACUUGUACAAUUAGUUUUUUUAUCUAUAUCUAAUGUUGUAUGCAUGUGUCCAAGAUUUGAUGUGAUAGAUGAAAAGUUUUUAGGUGAAACUAAACAAGGCCCAGGUAUAACUAGGGACGGGAUAGAUAUGCAGCCAACUACGUGACGACAAAAUCUCGAGGAGCUGACACAGAUAUAUGGACUAGAUAGAUUUUAAUAAUAUAAUAGUACGUAUCAAUAAUGUAGGAAAUAAUGGUAUACUAUACUAGUUCAUAGGAUUCAACUGAAUAUUUUUGACAACAACGUCGUAUUGUGUUUGAUACUUCCACGCAACUACAGGUUAUUAGUGGCGUCGGUCCACGAAUGUGUACGUGCACGCCGCCUUUCGUUCAAGAUAUACUAUAUGUUAAUUCUGUAUUUGUUUGUAUAUAUAUAUACGCUUAAUUAUAAGACAGCGAUAGGCAACGGAAUAUAUAUAUACACACACGAAGAAAAAUCGCUGGAGUAAAGAUAGAAGCUUGUGUAGAUAUUCUCGCUAUGGAGUAGUAGUUCCAAUCAUAUAUAUAUUGUGCCGCUGUGAGAAGUAGCCAAUCACCAAACAGGAGUGCUCAGCUCACUGAUGGCACGUCGUCUAUCCGUAGAGGCGUAGACGGGUGCAUGAGUGCAAAUGGACAUGCAUGGUUUCGAGGACUUCCCAACACACCCACAGGGCCACAGCCCACAGGUGAUGUUUGUCUCCAUGUUUCCCUCCUAUUUCCGCUGCUAUUAAUUCUCGUUGCUACGUGUUUGUUUCAGCAGCAGCGGAGCCAUUCGCACAAGGGUCGAAUCCGGAUACCGGAAACGUCGUUACCGCCCACUCCAGGCCUUAUCGGUUUAGGGCAUGUACAAUCUAGAUAGGGUCCGUCUCUAAGACCAGUCGCAAUGUAUAGUUUCAUGGUAGUUACCAAGACUAUAAACUAGGUAACCGAGUCAUAUGAGUUUUAUGAGGAUGAAAACUCCUCUCUCAUCUGAUGAGACUGCUUCAUUUAAUGACCCUGUCAAGUCAGCAAUUUUGCUUAUGUGGCACCUUAUUUAAUGUGCAUGAUACUCUCAUGAAACAUGCAUUGAGAUUGACCUAAGUAUCUCGAAUCUAUGAUACAGACAGAUAUAAAGACAGAUUAUACAAUCCAUACUUGGGGGUUCUAAGGCAUUUAAUAAUUUGCAUGUAGCUAAGAUCAACUAUGGAUAUCAACUUGUAUACCACUGUGUGGCCGUUUGAUAGAAGACAAGUUCAAGUAUAAAUAAGAUGAACAUAAUUAUAAUAUUUUAAAACCACUAAUAUAAUAUAUAUUAUAUAUAAAGAUGAACAUAAUUACAUAAGCACACUCAAAGAGGUCAGUCCACCUAAUAAUCUUGUGCCAUGGAUCCUUGCAUUGCUUUAGAUUCCUUUUCCUACGGGGUGGAGCUGUCUUGUUGUAUGAUUGAACAACAUCAGACCAAUAUUGGUUGCCACCUAUAUUAGCUCCACAGGUCGAAACUGUUGAAUGUUCUAUCCAAGAGCUCAUGCAUCAAGCUGACAUCCUCAUUCUUUUUCCAAGGAAUUUGCUUCUCAGUCCUAGCAUUUUCAUCAUCAGUGUCAACUAGUUCAGGCUACUGCUUGUCCACUCUCUCUACUUCUACUGGUAAAAUUUCUUCAUGGUUGUGAACAGGUGCACCAACCUAAAAAUUGUGUGGCUGGUUUCCAAAGUAACUCAUAAACCCACCAGGUGGGCAUGGGUCGUCUUUAUCCCUGCAGGAAACAUAACAUCACUAAAAUGACUCUAUACAACAUUACUUUAAUUUGCACUAUCUGCUUCUCAUUCACACUAACAAAUAUCAAAUAGUUUAUAAGAAACAGAGCAUUAGUUUCAUUCUCAAACAUUUGCAACAAACAUCAUAGACCUUCAAAAGGAUCUAUGACACUACAUGCAGGGAAUAAAAUAUGUCAUUUGUCAACCAUGAUGAUCUGACCAGGAUGAACACACAUGCAGCCCAUAGCCACCCUCCUGCUAUUCUUCCCCAAAUAAGAUGAAACAAAUUGCAAUAUAUACAACUUAGCACAUUCAGCAGCUACCAAAGCUCUGUUCACAUUCAGAUACAGCUAGCAAGUUCACGCAGGUUCACAUUCAGAUAAUAACUAGCAAAGCUCUAUUCACUAACAGAUAAGAUAGAAUUUCACUAACAGAUAGGAGCAAGUCCAGAUCAAUUCACAGGUCAGGUGAUUAACAAGAUGGAUCCCAAGCUGCUGAGCGCACAAACGAAGGAGAAGCUGGAUCAACGUUGGUCGAAUUCCACCAAGCAGUAGAUGGUGAAGUGGGGAAUGGAAACCCACCGAAGACGAUGGAACCGUCGCAGCACUGGGGAAGGCACCUCCACUAGAUGUACCAAUGGAGAUAGGAGGUGUUGCCAUGCUGUUGCUGAGGGAACAGGAGAUGGGGGUACCCCGGUGCCACCACCGCUGAUCCACUUCCGCGACCUAGGGUUCAGCCCAGGGCAUCCGCGCCCAACGAUGAGCCUCCACCACGACUGAGGUUGUAGUUCGACGCCGUCGAGAUGGCUCCGCGACCGAAGGUGUGCACCGGGAACACCGCUAUCGCUGUCGCCGCAGUUGACGCAACAAUGGGGGUGUCCUUGCUCUUCUUGUUUGUGGAAGCUAGUUUGCACUUCCUCGCUGAGGUGCUAAACAUCGCAGCCACCAAAGGUUGGGGUGCCCGAUUGAGAAAGAAAGCUAGAGUGUUGUGGCUGCUUCACCGGUGAAAUAGGGAUGAGGCAGAGACGGAUUUGGCGGGACUGCUCCCUCCCAUGCGCGCCAAAACUUCAUUAGCAUGCACGCGAGUGCCCCAGAUCCGCGCGCCGUCGAGACAAGGGGACGACUCCUACAAUGCUGCUCGGCUGGUCUCCUUUGCAUCGGUGCAUGGGACGGCUCCGUCGCUUCACGAGACGACGGAAUAGUCGUCUUCAGGCCACAACGGCACAACAGAUUUUUUUUGUAAAAGUACCCACGAAAGGACGGGGUGAAGAGUUUUUAUAAAAGUACCCACGAAAGGACGGGGUGAAGAGCCCCGUUGUACAUACCCUUAUUACGCAACUCACGUGAGAAUGGAUAAAGGAUAUCUUAGGUUGGAUCCUAUGAACUAAUAAGUAUAAUUGAAAGUUUAGUCUUUAAAGAUCUAAACAAAUGAACUAGUUAGUGAGCUAACAACUAGCGAAAGCCUCAACUAAUUGUUACUUCACUAGCAUAUAGAGCCCAACUAGUUGGGCUAAUCACUAAUUCUAGUUCAUCCAAACAGCUCCUUAACCAACCAAACAAAUUGUCGUUUUUCAUUUCAGGCAACAGGUAGGGGCGGCACCCAUUUUCAUUUGCAGUACAGCCCCGAACUAAACAGAGAAAGAGAGACACACAUUUGGCGGCCAAAAAAUCUGGGUUUUGAUCUAUCAUUUUGCAUAAUAAAACUAAACAUCAUGCAAAAAUUUUUAGCAAAAAAAAUUAUUCUUCAUUUUGGAUUUUGGUCUCAGGAGGCCAAAAGCCCAAAAGAGUUACAAGAGACCAUAAUAAGAGCAAUAAAUUCUGUAUUCUAGACAAAACUAAAUAUAACCUUAAAAAUGUUAGUAUUUAGUAUUUUAUCAUUUCAAGGUAGUCGGCAUUUUGCAUUUUGCAUUUUAUGGGAAAUUAAACACCCCCUAGCACAACCAAAUCGUCAACUCCCAACACUGCAGGCUUGAUGGAGCAUCAUUACCACGCUUCGGUUGAAGCUAAGAGCUGCAAAGCAUUUGCCAGUGCCAUUACCACCACCAUUUCAUGUUGCAUGGCUUGACCGGUCGUAAGAGUCCCAUGCACGUCGCAACUCGCACAGGCAUUGCUCUUGCUCGCGGUGCCAUGAUUGCGCCUUUCACAAACUCAUAGUUGAUCAAUUGGAGCACUUGCGAUUAUUGAAUCAUUAUUGUACUACCAUUUAGUAUGAGAUUUGAAAUUUACUUAAUUUAAUUGGAUAAAUAACAGGCCAUAUCUAAUUAAUUAAGUCCAAGAGCUAACAAUUCCAGGCUGUAAUUAAUUGUGCGAGAUGAUGUGUUCCUAGUCCACGAUGACCUUGAGAAGGACAUUGAGGAAGACGAAGGCUGCAAACGAGAUCCUAGUUUCCAUAUCUGCCAGGGAUGGGAUUUCGGUGAGCUAGCUUAAAUAUAGAGUAUUAUGGCAUCUAGAAAUUAACAAUAAUACAGCAAUGCUUUACAGCACUCAAGUGUUUUACAGCAAUUCAACACUCAAUUCCUUUCUGUUCUCUUCCUCUCCCUCUCUUCUUCUCUAACUCUGGCAAGCUUAGAUGAGACUGUGGGAGGCAGGUCGGCCAAAUGGUGGAAACGGCAGGAGGACGACGGUUAGAGUUCCAGCGGUGUAGGAGGCGGUCGAACUAGGUCAGGGCGAGGGCAUCUAUGGCCAUACGACGGUGAGGGGAGGAGAAGAAGAAGGUUGUUGUGGGCGUAAUAGGGUCUCAUCGGAGCUCAAGACCCUACUGCACUGAGGCGGGGCAGUGGACGACGGUAGGGCAUCGGGAGGAGGAAGAGGACGAUGAAGAAAAAAUCAAGUGUUCUCGAGAGCCAAAACACUCAAGCGACAGAUGAUAGAUCCUAAUAUAGAAAUGCAACAAUGUAUCCAAAGUAUGGAGGCACUGCUGUGUUUGUUAUUCCCAUCCUAGAGGUAAUCUUUGGUGUCCACAGGGAGAUAUUUAUUUUGUUCGUGCCUCUCGAGCCUCACCAUAUCAAUUCUAAUUAUGUUUCCGUCUAAUGCUCCGUAUAUAUAAUACGCUAAUAAGAUAGUGAAAUAGACGAAACUGAUCGACACAUUAGGUUUUUUUUACAACAAAUAUUUUUCAUUUGAGCAGCAGGACGCUGCAAUCAGUCUAACAGACUGAAGGUUUACAUCUAUCAGAUGCAUCAGGAAUGGGCACUGAUAGGUAAGGCUCUGAUGAGAGCAUACAUGAUGGAAGAAAGAUUCAACAGGAACAAUAACUGAGAAAGCCUGUCUAUCUAAAGCAUAUGUUGUAUUAUUUAUGUUCCUAUUGAUUUUGAAGAUCAUGGCAUGACAUUGAUCACCUGUGUUCCUGAACAUCUGGGUGAAAAAGGUUUUAUCCUCCAGUCUACAGGAUGUUCUUGGUCAUCUUCAUGUAGGAAUUGUACUAGCUGCUGGUUAUUAGUGAGAAAGGUGGUGUCAGUGAAGUUGAGUCGUUCACUAACAACUGCUGCUAGAGCAAGUGCUACAACUUCCGCCAUGAGGACUGAGUGGACUUCCAAGGCUUGUGCUGUGAUGUAGAUGGUUUGUGUGGUUGUACCUAUGGAUUGACAAAAAAUCCCAAGUCCUAUAGCUAUAUACUGCCUGGUUGGUUGGUCAUACCUUAAGGAGGCAUCAAUGAAGCAUCUGACUCCUUGGAUGAGCUCCAAUAUAGAGAUGAAGUAUUUGUCUGUCUAAGGUGAAGCUCUUGCAUUAGAUGUGAUAAUACCUGGUGAAGUCGGGGUGGCUUGAUUUGUGAGCAUCAUUUUCUAGGGGGUUUGUGCUUGUUGUUCCUCCAUAGGGUGUGAGGUGCAGGUUCCUCCUGUUGGUGCUGCAUGUGAUCAGGUGCAGGCGUCUCCAUCUGUUGAGGUGUGUGGCUGUGAUCCUACGAAGUAAUAGCAAUGGCAGUUUGCGUACCUUGUGCAGUCAUUUGUGGGGGUUGAGGUGGGAUAAGUAGAGUGUCGGUUUGGUGGCUGCUAAUGUGGGCUACGACCACAUGGUGUACCUGCCAUGGAGUCCAAGUUUUUCUGUGAAAUCAAAUAUCAUUCCUAGCUUUCCACAAAUACCAGAAAGUGAUUAGUAAUUUGUUGAAUACAGUAGAUGGGAUGGCGGCGGGGAUGAAGCUUGGUAGGAUUAGUUGCACGCCAUUAGUAUCUUGAGGUAAAUUGUCAGUGCAAAGAAGGGGAUUUGAUGAGAAUACUGUUGUGGGAGGUGAUAGUGGAAGAAUAGGUGGGCAUCAUCCUCCACCACGCCAUAGGAACAUAGUGCUUGUCUAUGUGGGGGAGUAUCUCGCUGCUUGUUUUGUUGUAGCUAGGGCUCUUUUGAUGAGUCUCCAAGUGAAGGAUUUAACUAGAGAUGGUGGCUCCUUACUAUUCCAUUCUCUCUGCAUAAUGGAGUUAGCAUGGGGUCCACCUCAAGAUGUCAUGACCAUCACUAUGAAUAGUUGGUGUUACAGUUAUGACCUGUACAUCCUAAGCAUCAAAGAUGUUAGUGAUGAGGUGAACAUUCGUGUUAUGGGAAUUUGGUUGCUAAAGAUUAGAGAAAUGGUUGGCAUUGGAGAUUGAGUAGCUAGCAGGAUCAUGUGGUCAUGGAUAGAGUUCCGAAUGGGCACCAAGGGGUGGACCAUAUAGAACUGUUACUUGAAUGGAUCUAGUAGACAGAGUUGGAGCGAAGUUUAGUUUUGACCUACAAAAUAGAAGACCAGAAGAUUGAUCUAGGACCAGUGGUGUUGGCUUUCCAAAAGGAGGUGUUGUGGAACUAUUUAGCCUUAAGGACAGAGGUGAGCAUGGGGUUUUUAUUAGUAGCAAUGUUUGCCAAGACCCCCAUUCUUCUUGGGCUAGCAAAUGUCUUCCCAAGACAUGAACGCAAUGGGAGAUGUAGGGUUGUCUUUCUAGACUCUAGUGCACCAAAAUUUCCUGAUUAUAGUGUUGAUUUUACCUAUCAUAGUAUUAGAAAAUAGCACAGUACACAUGUAGUAUACAGGGACCAAAGCUAGGACAGAUUUGAUGUAAGUCAGUCUCCCUGCAUGAUUAAGCUUGUUAGCUUUCACAGUAGUUAACUUAGCUCUAAAUUUUUUAAGAAUAAACUCAUAAACCUUAUUCCGAUCAUUACGAUUAAAAUAAUCAGGUGGCCCAAGGUGCAUGCUAUUAGGAAGGAGGUCAGGGGUAGGAAAGAUGUUCCUGAUAUCAUUUCUAGUGGUCAAAGGCACCUUUUUACUAAAAAGGAUUGAGGACUUCUAAAGAUUGGGAGUUUGCCUAGAGAGGUGGCAAAAGUCUUGUAAAAUGUCCCAGAUUUUGGUGGCUUCAAUGAUGGAGGCCUCGCCACAUAAGAUUAGAUCAUCAACAAAGAGAAGAGAGUGAAUGGGAGGGCAACUAGGACCAAGGGAAAUGCCCAAAAAAUUGGAGUAAUGAGUUCAGUUUGAAGGUGAAUGGAUAGCUCAUUGGUGGCCACAACAAAAAGACAAUGAGAGAGGGGGCAGCCCGGGCGAAUACCAUGAUGGGGAGUGAAGGAGGUGGAAGGCUCUCCAUUGAUAAGGAUGGAGAAAGUAGUAGUGGAAAUACAAGCUUGAAUGAGGUUGGUGAAAUUGGAGGGCAGCCCAAGACGAUUUAGAGAGUCCCAAUUCAGACAAUCAAACGUUUGGCCAGGUCAAGCUUGAGAUAAAAAAGCUUGCUGGUUCCAGUUUUUUAGGUUGGAAGAGAUGUGCCUGUGUUUUGAUGAAUGCAACUUAAGAUUAUUGAGUCAAUCGACAGCAACUUUGGCGUUUAGUAGAACACAGCAUGGUGCCAAGAUGAUACUACGAUGUCAGCAAAAACUUGUGGGAUCCACCAUUUAGUAAACGAUUAAAGAAAUUUUGAUUUCUUUUUUGUCGUUUCUGCACACCUCCAUGCCUACCAUACGUGUACUGUGUUGUUUUCAGUGGCGGAGGCAGCUGGCAAGGUUCGGCCUCCGCCGUACCUAAAAUGUAUAGAAAACACUAGUAUAUUAUGUGUAUAUACGGUUAUACACGUGAAAUAUACAUGGCUUAGCCUCUGCCACUGUGCACGAAUAGAUUUUGUUUGUGGGCUGGUAUCUCGUGGGCUUACACGACUACGAGCCCGUUCGCUUCUUAGCUGUACUUUUUUUCAGUGAUUUUUUUUUGACCAGCGAAUAGGCUCUAUGUCAAAAGCCCACGACACUAUCCAUAGAAGGAAGCAGCUCAUUGGUCUUCCUGCCUUCCUGGCUGGUCGACUACUCCAGGUUUUAGUGGCCGACUUGUUUAGUUUCAAUUUUUUUUAGCAAAAUAGAUACUGUAGCACUUUUGUUUGUAUUUAACAAAUAUUAUUCAAUUAUAGACUAACUAGGCUCAAGAGAUCUGUCUCGCAAAUUAUAGACAAACUGUAUAAUUAGUUAUUUAUUUUAUUUAUAUUUAGUGUUUCAUGCAUGCAGUGGCGGAGGCAGGAUUUUUGCUUGGGAUAUGCCAAACAAAAAGUUUUCAUAUACAAAUCGGUAAAAUCUAUUUAGCAAUUCGGUAGAAUUUUAUAAAAAAAAUGUCUAACAAUUCGGUACACAACUGUUAAGGCCUUGUUUAGUUCCAAAAUGGACAUUGUAGUAUUUUCGUUUGUAUUUAAUAAAUAUUAUCCAAUCAUAGACUAACUAGGCUCAAAAGAUUUGUUUCGCAAAUUACAUGCAAAUUGUGCAAUUAUUUUUUAUUUAUAUUUAAUACUUCAUAUAUGUGCCGCAAGAUUCGAUGUGACAAAGAAACUUUCAAAAUUUUGCUAAUUUUUUGGGACGUAAACAAGGCCUAAAUGGCAUAAGUCGUGCGUCCAUGGUGUGUUUGAAAGGAGCGUCCGAGAGCAGGUGCGAGACGAAUACCGAGGUCUUGUUUAGUUCUUCUAUGGUCUCCAAUGGGAGGGUUAGCUGAUCCACAUUAGUUAACCACUACUCCACAUUGGGCAAAGUGAUUUUGUUAACGCACGUAGCCACGGUAAAUCAUAAUUAAAGAGCCAUCGUGAUCAACUUUCAUUAUGUGAGCUUGAACAAAAUGAUCAACAUCAAGAGUUGGCCUACAAAUAAUUGUAGAGCUUUGCUAAAUUUCCACACCCUUUCUCCCACUCCAAAAAGCCAAAGUGCUCAAUCCUUAAGCAAAUCAUUCCACCAGGAGAACAAAAGCAAUGUUGUGGUGAUCAACAUCAAGGUAUAUCUGUAGAGCUUUGCUUUUACCGGUUAACGUGCAAUAUGAGUGCACAAUUAUGUUUAGGAUAGAUUUAUUAAGCUAAUAUUGUUAUCUAGUGCCACUAGGUGGGGACUAACAAUACACAUGUGUUAGACUCAGUGACAUGGUGAGGAAGCAAGUGAAAACCUUUGAAAAUGCAAACUCAGUGCUAAAGGUGUUAUUGUUCCGUCUGCCACAUUUGGGAGAUAUCAUAUUUGAAAAAGGGUUUAAGAGAGGGGCUUGGUGAGAUGGUUUGAAUAGUCACUAGAUAAGUCCGGUGGUCAUCAGAGCUUAGGCACACCCACUUUACUAGUCUAGUCAUCAGGCUGUCUCACUCUGUAGUGGGCCACCAAAAAUAUCCAUGCCUCUAGGUCCGAGCACUAAAGUUUAGGCUCCUUCACUUUGGGAGAGAAGGGGACGCUGGACACGAGGCAACAAUCGGCAAUGGCUGCAAAGCACACAAAGUUUAGAAGGAUAAAGGAAGACGACUAGAGGAGGUUAAAUAGUCAUUUCUAUAACUAAAUCAUGAAUCCUAGGCAAAUAAAUAACAUUAAUAAACUAUUUGUCACUUCCCACUAUAACAGCAGAAAUAAAACAACAGAGAUAAUCUAUUUUCAUAACAAUACAAUAAAAGGUACAUGACUCAUUAUUUCCAUGAUGAUUCCAUCCCUACCUGCGAGCGUGGAAAGCCUAAAAAGCCUCUCUCCACGGCCUUCCUAAAAAAAGCCCACCUGGCCACCUGUAGUUCAAUAUAAGCUACUGGAGAAGCUAGGCGUUUGGUCCAUCUCGAACCGCUUUUAAAGCUAAACAGCCCAAUAACCCAUUUCAAACAAGGUCGAAGCCCAAUGAGGCAGGUGGCCCAAAACCUGACCCGAUUCUCUCCCAAUUCUUUUUCCUCGUGUUGGAAUCGGAAUUGGAAUUGGAAUUUGUACGUAGUGGCGGCGAUAUCUGGUUCAGAGUGGGUGUUGAUUCGUGGAGAGCAGCUGGUCGGGCCCAUCCGCGCAGUUGGCUUGGCUUGGCCGCUGCCGCCCGUGCUCGCACCGGCCGCCCCACCUCCAUCUUCCCAUGGUGGUGGUAUCAUCCCCCCCCUUUCCUCUUCCUCCUCCCCACGUGCAACCACCUAACCCCUCUCCCACCGCCCUCCUCGCCUAGCCCGCCGCCACAGCGGCCGUCGACGAGCGCCAUGCCCGCCGCGGCGUCCACCUCCGCGACCUCGCUGCUGCUGGGCGGCGGCAGGCUCCCGCGGCUCCAGCUCCAGUCCCUCCGCGCCCCCGCCAAGCCCCCCUUCCGCCGCCCGGCCUCGUCCCCGUCCACACCGCUCCCCAGAUGCCGCGCCAGCGCGAGCCCCCGCCCUCUGGGCCCCGUCUCCGCCUCCGCCCUCGCGCUGCCCGUGUCGGUGACGGCCGCUCCCCCACCGCAGGUGGAGGAUGGUGGCUGGGUGGGAGGCGCGGCCGCGGCCGCGGCCGUGAGGAGAGUAGCUGUGGCGGUGGCGUGCGGGGCGCUCGCGGCGGCGUGGUGCCGCCGGGCGAUGGCUGUGGGGGCGGCCACGGCGGCGGGAGCGGGAGCGGGGGCCGGGGCCGGGGCGACGGGGGCGGUGGAAGCUGCCGCGGGGAUUGGAGGGAUGGCGCUGCACGGGGGCUGGCCGAGAGUGCUGCAGAUUCUGCAGCUGCUCAGGGAGCAGGGCCUGGUUCUGGCCGCGCUGCUCGGCCUCUCUGCGUUCUUCUCCAUGGCAGAAACUUCUAUCACGACGCUUUGGCCUUGGAAGGUGCGUUCAGCAAGUCUACGGAGACCCAUUUUCUUAAACUCCUGUUGUUGCCAUAGUAAUUACUGUACGUACGCGAAAUGAACUAUGCUUCCAGUUUUGCAAUCGGUUUGGUUCACUGAGCUACGAGGUAGGAUAUUGGGAGAUUUUUGGAUACUUAGAUGAGCAGAUUGGUAUUGGUGUAGUGUUGCUGCUAAGAGGGGAUGCUGAGAUGGGGUGAGUGUCUUAUGGGUACGUCCUUGUAUCAACUACUAUACUCAUUCUAAAUGGGUUUAUGCAAUGAGUAUUUGUAUGAACAAAGCAAACGGAUACGCACUAGCUUAGGCUGUUGGGUUGGGCUGUGGCAUGUGUGGGUCGAGGAUGUGGCGGUUGUCAUGCACAUCCUGCUUCAGCAGUGAUGUGAUAAUUUUGUCUCGCUUGCUGAUGACAUAAUCCACAGCACAAGUUUGUAUUUGAGAAGUGAUGUCACUGCUGGGAGUGUUGCUGAAAGACAUGGGGAAAGCAUUAUUGCUCCUUCCUUUUUUUUGUAGGAUAGAGGGCUGAGCAGCAGGCAUAACUGAUUGACAAGCUGACAACAGCAAGGUGCUUCAGAUAUAAUGACAGUGUGCACAUGCGCUUUAGUGACAUGUUGUGCUAGUGAUCUGUAGGAGAAUUAGGCAGGGAAUCUAUGCAAGGAAAGUUUUUAUUAUUUUGAAACUGGAACUAAUGACACUGGUAUUGGAUUACCGGUCUUACUGACUUUAUAUAUAAUCUCCCUUCACACCUAAUCUCAUCAACUGGAUAGGUAUUUCUGGUUCAGAAUAUUUAUAGCUUUGAACAGAACAUUGGUGCUCUUGUAACUAUCAUUAAAGGGGUCCUGCCUCUUUGUUCAUGUUUAUCAACAUUUAAAUUCAAUUCUAAUUCUUCAAAGACUACAACAAGGUGAUCAAUGUAAAUUGAUGGCUGGAUUCGGUUAAUCACAUGUUGAACUUGCAUUUUAUUUUUAGUAGAGGUUUAUUUGCAAGCACAGGAAUAAUGAAGCCCUAGGUUUAGUGCAUUUUUUCCCUCCAGAGUUGAGCCUAAGGAUUCAAGUUCACUGACACUUAUCAUUGUGGGUUCAAGCAUUUGCACACAUAUUAGCAUAUUGAAAUGGCUAAAGUAUUAGAGGUUGGUGCUAGAGUCUUUCCAUAACAGCGCACUUGGGACUGAAGUUUGAUUCAUGCAAAAUUUUUCAAUUGAAUCAUGCUUGAUGUUCAAAAACUAGCAAGAAUCAUAGAAAUAGCAACACUGUAUUGUGUAAUAGGUUGCAUACCUUUUCCCCCUUUGCAUUUGUUUAUUUUUCUAACGUUGUUUGGAAAUUGCCACAUCAAGGCCUAAUUUUCUAGUGAUCUGCCUAGCGCCCAAUAGCUAGCUAGCCUCUCUACUCAAGCAUUGAGGCAUCACCCCCUUCUACCCACCUAGGGCAUUUUCAGAUCAGUGUUUUGAAACUUUGCUUCGUAGUGGUACUCUUUUCUUAUUGUAACUGACUGUAUGCUGAGAGCGAAUAUCUAUAUGCUGAGACUUUGCUGAUUUCUUUUUUCCUUUGCAUUAGGUUCGUGAACUAGCUGAGAAGGAACCUGAGAAUGGUGUUUUCAAAAUGCUCCGAAAUGACGUCACUCGUUUCCUGACAACUAUUCUCAUUGGCACAACGUAAUCCAUGGCAUUUCUAAGUUGUGCAUCACUCAUUGCAAUUUUGUUUUACUAACCCUAAACCCUAAUCUCGGGCAUAAUUUGUAUGAAAUAGUGUGGUCAACAUUGGCGCAACAGCAAUUGUUACUGAGGCAGCAACAGCAAUGUUUGGUGAAGCAGGUGUUAGUGCAGCAACAGGUGUCAUGACAGUAUGUCUCCUGUCUCAUACUGGCCUUCUGCUCUUGUGUAAGUGUUCUUUAAUCUAACUAUGGAGCACCAUUUUUUAGGUUGCCAUCUUACUUCUUACAGAGAUCACUCCCAAAAGUGUUGCAGUCCAUAAUGCCACCGAGGUCGCUAGGUUUGUGGUAAGGUGAGAGAUAUCAAGUAUAACUUAGUUUCAAACAUGUUUAUUUUGAGUACUGAACAUUGUGCAUUUGUUGCGAUAUAUCAGACCGGUCGCAUGGCUUUCGCUGAUCCUCUAUCCAGUUGGGCGGAUUGCUACUUUUCUGUCUAUGGGAAUGCUAAAGAUUCUAGGCCUGAAAGGGAGAAGGUAAGACUGUAAGAGUAUGUAUAAUACUCUAGUUCUUGAUCAACUAGAAGAUAAAUUCUUUGAAAAUAUGCCAACUCAAUAAGCUCAUGUUAGUCAUAGAUUAUAUCCCCCAUUAGUUAUGAUAUGCUUUCAAGAAGGAUACACAAACAAUAAAUUAAUUCAUGCCACAAGAACCACACAGAACUCUUUUUUAAGAGCAUAUGGCUUGCUCUGCGUAGUGGAUAUAACCAGGGAAGCACAAGGAUUGAGUUUCUAGGUGUGUGUGGGUUCUGCUCAGGUGGGCAACUCUAGCUUCAUCCAUCUGUAUCUUUUUCUUGAUGAAAUGGCAUGCAGCUCUUUUGCGUCAUUCGAGAAAAAAUAACCAGGGAAGCACACUGAUUGAGUUCCUGGUUCCUGCCAAAUAAAAUCUCACCUGUUUUCUUUUAAAAAUGGAUUAAACUUGUAUAUUACUAGAAUUCAAGUACAAAUGAGAUGGUACAACAUGGACUAGAUUAGACUAGUUUGAGUAUGUGUUGAGUCUAGUUUAUAGGGUGAUAGUUGUACUUUCUAAAAUUUCUAUAAUUAGUAAAUAGUGCAGUGACUAUAUUUUUAAUCAAUAGAUGACCGUUGACACUAUUCCAAGAAUUGCAUAUCAUCUGUUAUUGUUCAUGAAGGAUCUAAUUCUAGUUUGAAUUUGCUAGAAACUUAUUGAUUGCUUUCUGUAUAAUUUAGUUUACAAAUUGAAUUUAGUAUCUGAUAUUGUAAUACAAUACACAUUUGUAUGUUAUUUUUUGCAUUUUUUUUACAAAAUCCAGUACUCAAGUACAUUGAUUUGCUAUGUCUUUUAGUUACUACAUUUGUAUAUGUUUAACCAAUAUACAAUUGAGAUUCCUAUAUAGAUAAGAUUUAGUUUUUCUUUUUCAUAACUCUUGACAUUUCUGGAGAUCUACUUCUGAAUCUUGUGCAUCAUAUACACUUCUUUCCUCAGUGAACCAUAUGUUACUGAAGAUGAACUGAAGUUAAUGUUACGAGGAGCAGAGUUGAGUGGUGCAAUUGCAGAAGAUGAACAGGUUAGACAAUCUAGUAUAUGGAGAUGCCCAUAUAUUGUGCUGCAUAUUUCCUUCUUUAUUCUUUAUGUUUCUGUGUACCUCACAGCAAGAUUUUGUUAUCCAGUGCAAUCUAGGCAAAGCCUUUACUUACAAUUUUUAUAUCAUAUAGAAAGCUGACUACUUACAUAAAUAAAGAGUGAAUUAAUGAAAUUUCAGGAAAAUAGUAACUAACGUUUUUGCAUGAUUUUAACUGCUAAUUUAAUGUUUGUACACCAUCUCAUCACAUAUAUCCAGAAUUUGAAAAGCAGUAUGGCCCCAAAGGUUUGAGUUAGAUUAUACUGUUGCAGACUAGGAUUUUGCCUCUUGAUAGUUUACUAGCACACUUUGGCUACUUCUUUGUUUUCUUGAAAACGCAGGAGAGCUGCACUUCAUUAUAUUAAGAGGAUAAAGGGCAAGAGCCCGAACAACCCCACAAACACCAUACACACACCACACACAUCACACACUCACGCCCCAACAGAAAUGUUACAUUCGCGCCCGUAAGAAAACACACAACGCGACCACUACUAGGCUAAACAUUUCUAACUAUCGGGGAGGAGGGCAGUCAAGAAUGAUAGCUCUCGAGCUGCUGCCAUAGACCAUAAACGGCGCUCCUCGCCUGCUAUGAUCAGAGCGCCAGCAAGGUUUGGAGCUGCUCCAUCAAAGACACACCCAUUGCGAUGGUUCCAUAUAGUCCAAGCUCCGAGCAUAACAAGAGAAUUAAUUCCUUGCCUUGUCAGCCCAUCAGCAGUGCUGCUAGCCUUCUCCCACCAAGCAUGGAAGGAUAAUUCUGUAAGCUGAGGGGACAAAAGCCUGAUUGAACCAAAAUUCUCUUGUGAACACACAAUGGACAAGUAGAUGGUCGAUAGUCUCCUUUUCAUGGUCACAAAGGAGGCAAUUCUCCGGAUGAGGUAACCCUCGGCGUGCUAGACGAUCAGCUGUCCAGCACUUAUUGUGCGACCAGCCACAUAAAGAAACGGCAUUUGGGCAGCACCCAUGAUUUCCAAAUCUUUUCCCAUGGUCCAAAAAGAGUAGAUCCGAAAAAGAAGCCUUCAUAUGCCGAUUUAGCCAAGUAUUGUCCAUUAGAGGAGAGCCUCCAUAGGUGCUGCAGCUGAAAAUCCAGAAGUAGAUCCCACCAUAAGUGAAAGUAGUCAACAAACCCACCAACUGUGAGCGCUCCUUGUAUGUCCAAAAUCCAAGCCCGGUUAGUAAGGGCAUCCUGGACAGUAUGCUGCUUAACCCUCCUUUUAGGAGUAGCCACAAAAAGUCGAGGGGCAAGAUCUGCAAUGCAUUGCCCAUUGAUCCGAUCUGUCCAGAAAAGAGUGUUUGCACCAUCCAAUUUCAGAAGUUACUGCCACUGAGUAGAAGGCUCUUACUUGCUUCGGCACAUGGAAUGGUAGAGCAGCCCAAGGACAAUGAGGUUCUGUUUUCUGCAGCCAAACCCAUCUCGUGCGCAAGGACCAGCCAAGGGUUUUUAAAUCUGAAAUUCCCAGGCCUCCAAGCUCUGGUGGGCCACAGACUUUGACCCAAGCCACAAGACAAUGACCACCUUUUUGCAUAUUUUCGACCCCUCCAAAGAAAGCCACGCCAAAUUUUAUUUACCACUUUGAUAGCCAUGGAGGAAAGUCGAAAGCAAUAGCUAAGUAAAUGAGCAUUCUCAGUGAGAACUGAUUGUACUUGAACCCUUCUUCCAGCCCUUGUCAUUAGGUCUGCCUUCCAGCCAGGAAGUUGAUCUGCAGUACGAUCAAUAAUAGGCUGCACUUGUUUCUUUAGGGAGAGGGGCAGACCUAAGUAUUUGCAUGGGAAAUCCGAGAGGGGCACACCUAGCUAGUUUCUUUGGCUACUGUUAUCCUUUAGGUAUUUUGCAGAACCUUUCCAUAGCAAUCCCAUUAAUCUUUAGGAAGCGAUCCCAUUUGUUAAAGCCCCUGCAGGCAACUUUCAAGUUCAUUAUUCUCGAUCACAGGUAGUCAUUCUGCAUAUUUUUCCCUCAGAAUCAUCAUAAGAAUUGGGUUAAGUGGAUAGGUCAGACUAUAGCAUGGAAAUACAUAAGUACUGAUAGGUUGUUGAAACUAUCUAAGACUACAGAUUUAUCGUGUCAAUUUGUCACAAAUAACAGAUUUUAGCUGAUGAAAUCAGUACUUCUGCAGUACAUAGAAAUACUAAAUGUGUAGUUUUAGUUUUGCAAAAACAAGGACACUAAAUUUAUAAUUCUGUGAUAAAACUUCUUAAAUCUGUAGUUUUGUGAUAGCAUAGCCCACUCACACAUAUACAAAAAAAAAGAAAAAGAAAAAAAGGAACCAUAUAGUUAUUUAUGUGCUUAGAUUCUAGGCCCUAGAACUAGAACCUAUAGCUGUGUUACACUAUUAUGAAUUCCUAGUCCGUGCCUGCUUGUGCAGGACACUUUUCUACUUGAUCAGCUAAAGUCAGCACCUGAGUCUUUUAACAGGAUAUGAUCGAGAAUGUCCUGGAAAUUAAAGAUACACAGGUGAGGGAAGUAAUGACGCCUUUGGUGGACGUAGUUGCAAUUGAUGCUAUUGCAACACUUAUUGAUUUCAAAAACUUGUGGGAAACUCAUCAGUACUCUAGGUAUUGUCAACUAUUAUUGUCGCGUGUAUUUUCAAGUCUUAUCACUGACAUCUGCUGCUAUUUGUUAUUUCCAGAGUUCCUGUAUUUGAGGAGCGCAUAGAUAAUAUUGUUGGAAUUGCAUAUGCAAUGGACAUGCUUGAAUAUGUUGAAGAGGUAUGUCUCUUGUUUACCAUUUAAUGUAAAACUUAAUCACAGUGAGUCUUAUUUGCUCCACAUGAUGCUUCUCUAAAGGGAAAGUAAAAGGUGUAUUUUUCUUUUGAAGGUUGAGAAGCUGAAUGAAAUCACUGUUAAGAAAAUCGCACAUAUGCCUACAUACUUUGUUCCAGGUAAUUUUUAGUAACAUUGUUGGAUACAAGUAUCAUGAUGAACUAAAAGAAGGCAUCUGUCAGUAGUUAUAGGGUUGGAUGUUUUUCCACAACAAUUAAUCAUUUCUGCCACAUGUUUUCUCCCAUCUAUGCAUCAUGGAUGUAACAUAUGAUACUGUUUCAUCUGGCAGAUUCAAUGUCUGUUUGGAACCUAUUAAGAGAGUUCCGGAUCAGGCAGGUUCAUAUGGCAGUGGUCCUUAAUGAAUAUGGUGGAACUAUUGGUGUAUGUCCCUAUGAAACCCAUUUUUUAUACUUUACAAACUGGACACAGUUUAGUACUUGUUAAUAUUCUUGUUAUGCUUUCAUCCAAGGCUAGUUGCUCAAUUGAGACCAUUUUGACUUAUGGCACACAACGAGGUUCAACAUUGUUUACUCCAAUCAAUUUUUAGUUGUAACUUCCAAGCAUGCUAGUUAGUUUGCUAAUAAUUGAUGAAUGCUAGUCAGUACAUGGUGACAUUUUGAUGGCCAUUUAUUGGCAACACUACUGGCUUUUGUUCCACAAUGGUCGUGUUUUUAGCACAAGCAUGUGGUGCGAUGCUUCAAGUGAUCUUGCUGCACAGCUUAUGUAACUGCAGCAAUGGGGCACUUUUCAUCUGUUGCAGUAGCAGUCCCUGUUGUUCAUGGUUUGUUUCCUUUUAAGAUAUACCCCACACAUAGAGAUUAGUUAUGCUCCAUGCAGCAGAGAUUAUUACUUUCCACAAGUUUAGAGAUUGUUUCUUAGGAAGUAGUUAUGCUCACAGUUUGUUCAUCAGUUUCUGUUUUCAGAAGUAGUUGAUGAGCGAUGAACAUGUUUUGAUUAUGUUUGCUGCUGAAAGGAUAAUUCUUUAAGAUGUUUUUCUCAUUACUGAUGCUCAUUGGUAAAAGUUGCAAAUGAUUGGACAAAGCUACUACCCGUGAGCUUCCUUUGUCUCACAUACCCUUCGAGCAAUUACGCUUUAAUGUAGCAAUAUCUAUCCAUUACUUGCAGCAACUAAGUCCUAUUGUAUUCAGAAAUGUUUAUUAGAACAGUUUGUAAUUUCAUAUGUUUAUCACUGCAUGGGACAUUGGGAAUUACUCUGACCUUUGGCCAAAAAAAAAUGCAGAUUGUAACACUAGAAGAUGUAGUGGAAGAAAUAGUUGGUGAAAUAUUUGACGAGAAUGAUUCCAAGGUGAUUAUUUCUGGAAUUUUUUAUUUCAAAUCGCAAGUGGGUGUUCAGUGCCAUACAUAUGCAUGCUAUUAUUUUCUAUUUCUUUUUCAAAAUUAUUUCCCCCUUUCUUUUGGUUUAUUAUUCCCUUUUUGCCUUGUAACUAUCGUUCUUAUAUUACAUAACUGACUUUUCAUAUGUUGGUAAUAAAUAAUGAUAUGCUAGCAUUUGAACUUACGAAAUUUAGUGGGCCAAACAUACUGAGCCAUGCCAAAAAAGACAGGCAAAUCAUACAGUCAUAUUUUAGCAGCAGCAGUGCAUUAGCGCGGUGGGUACUGAGCCGGAGUUUGCAUGUGCCUGAAGGUGGCUGAAUGAAUAAGGUGGAUAUUACCCUACCCGCACCCAAAUCAAAAUGUGUAUUUUAUUUCUACCCAUACCCUCCCCAAUUAAUGCGGGUGUGGAUUUGAAUAUGGGGAUUGAAUAUCCAGCGGCAGGUAUAAAGAUUAGAUCUCCUGCCUCAGUGCUUCUCCAAGAUCUGGAAGCAGCUGCUUCACUCCUAUUUUCUGUAUCCUAGUCAAAACAAAGGAUUUUUCCAUGUAGCAAGCUAGUUGCUCUUUGUCAUUUGCUUAGGCAGUCUCUCAAUUCCUUCUGCUACUCUGUUUUUCACCCUUUCAGGAGGAAAUCCAGAAGAAAACAGGCUAUAUAGUGAGGCGGGGAGAUGGAACAUUUGAUGUUGAUGCAAAUACAUCAAUAGAUCACCUCUCUGAAGAGCUUGGUAUCAAAAUACCAGAGGUAUUGUUUCUCAUUUGAUCUUAGCUUUCUCUACAGUUGCUAUGCAUUCCCUUGGACAUGUGUAUAUUUAAGGAAGGUAUGGCUCGGAAAAUAGUAGAUUGAUUAUGAGUAGUACAAAAGGGUAGGCAAGGAUGAUCUGGGAUUUAUAGAACAAUACCCAAUCAGGGAGAUCCUUGCCUAAUAGCUAAUCAACUACAUAAAACCCAUGGAGGCAGGCUUAGGUGCCAGGGCCCAUGCGGCCAGCCCAAUAGCCCUCUGGAAACUCCAUUCUAACAUAUAUGUUGGAGUGGACACUGUAUGAUGAUCAUCGAAAUGUGAGUUCCAUCAUUUAGAGAUGCCUGGUUUGCAGAACCUAUACAGAUAUAACGUUAUUAUAUCUAUUUUUUGGUGGAAACUGGACAUUUAAUAUUUAGGUCAACAAAAUAUUCACAAAUGUUCUGUUUGUAAAAUAUGCCCUUGGUAGUCAUCAUUUAUAUGGUGCUCUGUAUUUCUGUCAUGUUUCUCGUAGAUUGGCUGAUAAUCUUGAGACACUUGGACACUAUCUUUUGGCAGGGGCAUCAGUAUGAGACGGUGUCUGGUUUUGUCUGUGCAUCUUUUGGCUAUAUUCCAGAAGAAGGUGGGAAAAUGCUUGUGAUUCUUGAAAAGGAUUACAGAGAAGAAAACGGUGAAUAUCAGGAGGAAGGUUCUGAUCGCCAAGAUGAUAGAGAAAAAACUCAAGCUUACGAACUUGAGGUAAUUGUUACAACUCCUUGUGUACUCUGUUUGCUCAAGAGUUCUAGUACCAGGUCAAUUAUUAUAAUGCGAUUAUCUUGUCAUCGCUAGAAAUCUUUACUAGUAUAUAUAACUAUUAUGAAUUUUCCUUCAUUACUUGAAAGCUGAAAGACACCACAAAAGCUUCAAUUUUCUUUGUUGAUGCAAUACCAUGAAACCUUUUUUGUUAAAUAACUCUCAUUAGAACCAAUUUUCCAUACAGGGCAUUUGGUUCUUAGAUCAUUUUAUAGGAUAUUUCGUACUAUAAGUAAGAACCAACUACUAUCCACAAUUACCUCUACAUGCUUGUUUGUGCAUAUAAAAAGACAACAAUACUCAGAAGGUUGCUGUAACAUGUCCACACUCCGCUUUUGUGGUGCUAAUACUACCGAACAUUUGUAAUUGCUUUUUUUAUUUGAAGCUAAAAAAAGAAAGUAUACAAAAACUAAUAGAUAAGAAAACCAACUACUCAAUUGUCAAUUCAGAAUUCAUACUGUGGGUUAUAAGGUUAUUUCAGUGAAAUUGUUUUGGUAUUGGUACACAACCUUUAUUAGUUGGUGCAACUCCCAUUUCCGGAAGUCUUCGUACACUUUAAUUGAAUUGCUGCAGCCCUAGGAAUCCAUAGUUUCUGUUUCACAAUUCACCCAAAGUUUCAUUCUUUGUUGCAGAAUUAAAUAACCUUCUGUAGUUGUUUUCACUACCUUUAUUACCUGGCUUCUCUUGCUCACAGAUAGUGGAAGCUAAUGCAAGGAAGGUGGGCAAAGUCCUAUUUAAGCCAAUAAGCAGUGAAUGUGUUGGUGUUGACAACAAGGGUGUGAACCGCCUGGUCUCCAAGAAGAUCAUCAAACGGAAGAAGCAGGGCUAUGAUGAUUCCUCCGGUGACGAGUAUCCAGAUACAACAGAGAAUGGCUGCCCUGCUGAGGCACUCUCCUACUCGGAUGGUAACAGUGCCUUGUUGGAAGAUGCAAGCAGUUCUAGUGCCAAGAGGUGACAAUAAAGGAACUCCAAGACCAUCGUACUACUGGUAAUAAUUACAGCACACCGUCACCGGUCCUAAUACCCCUUGUUACAACAGAAGAAGAUGAGAAGAACAUAGUAGUAGGCUACCCAAAAAAAAAAACUGCGAGAGCAACACCAAGAGGUUAACAGCAGUUUAAGGCAUUGCAACAUUUUUCAGUAGCAGGAGUAGCAGUAGUAGCAGUCUAGAGGUGCAGCGAGGUGUCGACGUCGACUUCACCAGAGACAUGUUUGUAGUUGUAGGUCUUACUGGGCCACAGCUCCACCGCAAUGGGGUCGCUAUCGCCGUGGAGCUGGAAGCUUUUGCAUUCACAGACAGUGGUUGGCACGGCCGGGAAUAAGGAGGCUGCGGCGGCAACAGCGGCAGUGGUUUCCCGCAGCGGCCUGCACGGGUAGAGCAGCUCCGGGUGGAAGAACCACUUGACGGGCAUCUCCCUCGGGGAGGCGGUGGCCGCAGGGCGGGGGGCGAGCACGUGGAGAAGCCUCUCCUCCCGCUUCUCCCUGAUCCUCUCCAGCUCCCUGAACCUCUGCUGCAGCAGGGCGAUGGAGGAGAACAUCACCUGGCCUUCGCUGCUCUGCACCCCCAUGAUGACUGGGCGAGAGGGGGAGCUCUCACUCCAGCUCCGAGUUUCAGUUACGUGUUCGUGUCGUGUGUAUCUCACUCAAGCGUCUGUCUACUUCGCUCGGUGUGUGUGGGGGUUUUGCUUGCUGCUUGAAGGGGUGGUGGUCUUGGGCAUGUGCGUAUUUAUAAGCCGCAAAGUUUUGUCACGGCGCAGGGCGUCGUCUUGUGGUCGUCUUGCAAGUUGCGCCAAUUCUUUCAUCUUCAUCUUCCAUUAUGUGAUGCUAUGCCUGUUUGUGUGUUUUGUUUAUGGGCUGAUUGAAAAACAAAAGAGGCACUAUUGGUAUGAGAGAGAAUCUGGGAGGAGAAUGUCACGUCGCCCGAGAAAGGAAGUGGGAGGCGUGCAGGUGAGAGAAUAAGGGGCGUGGCGUGGGAGAGUCCAAGGAAAUGGGGCUGUGGACGCUUGCGCUUGUUCCGUUCCUGGCGGUGGGAAUCGCCGUGUGCCGUUGUGAUGUGCGGGGUGGCCAUGAUUGCGCCUCUGUUUGUCUGUCACCUUUUUCCCUUGCGCAUUGCUGCAGCAGCAGGGCAGGGGAGAGGUCUGCAUGCCCUGCCAUGCCCUGCCCUGCUGCUCGUACUAGCUCGCUACUACUCCCUUCCCCCUCUCCAUCCAAACGGGCACUGCGAGCUUUUCCUGGUCUAUAAUGGCGUCGUUGGAGCUGUAGUACGUGCUGUUCGUAGCAACUGUGGGCAGCGCUUUCAGGUGUGGAACUGUGCACUCCAUGAGCCAUUGUCUUCGUUUGCGUGUGUGAACGUGUUGGAGAGUCUGGGAGCAGAAAGUCUGCGUUGAACGUUACUUCUUUGGGUCUUUGACUGGUGCGUCCAUAGAUCUGUGAAUGGGAGCGCUGAUUGCACGCUGCGUAGUACAGUGCGUUCGAGUAACGCUGAGACGGCGUGCUGCUUUGAAGUUUCAACUUUUGGUUAAUUCAGGAAAGUUGAUUGAUCUUAUGUUUUUUGACGGCCAGGUAAACACGGCCAAUUGCACCGGCGUCAAAAAGACCUCUGUCAUCCGAUGCUUUGGACAGUAAUUGAGAUAUUCGUAACAAAUGCUUCACUACCCGAAGAGAAAACUAGUUUUCGUUGGUUUCCGCAUUUUGUGAAAAUAAGAAAGGGCAUGUUUGAGUCAGAGUCGGGUUAUUAUAAUUGGAUUAUCGACUCUAAUAAUUAGAGUGCUAGAUUUUUUGUGGUGGAACCUAUCCAUUUCUUGCCUAGCCAGCCAACUAUCAUGAUGCUACAUGGUAUUUAAGUAACGACCAUUUUCUCAAAUGGUCAAGGAUUAUAUUCUUCUUUGAUUUUUUUUUCCCUUCAAGUGGCCUAGGGUUUUGUAGUCUAAUGUGAACAAUAUCAGGUGAAAACAAAAUAGCAUCAAAGAAUAGAUAGCCAAAAUGCCUAACGAAAAGGAAAAUUGUGGGUUACAUGUCUCAUGAAUUAUUUGAUGAAGUAGAAUAAGAUACGUUCGGUUAUUUGAGAGAAAAAAAAACUGCACAACAUAAAAAAAUAACUGUUUGCCUAGUUGGCUAAGAAAAAAUAUAGUGGGCUCCAUGGCUCCUAAGACUCUUUAAAUAUCAUGUAAAUGGAUAUAAAAGAAGUCAAUAAAUCAUUCUGCUGAUAUUGACUGAAUUAUUUGCUAUCAACAAUUAUCCAAAAAAGAUUUCUUUAAGAAUAAUAUUUCUACCAUGUAAAACAAGAAGAAAAAGACAAAUUAAUCGGAACUUUUGUUUGUGGCUGGAACUAUUGUAAAUGUCAUUGUUGAGUUGAGAUAUUUUUUUUUUGAAGUUCCCUUUUUGCGAGGAAUGAGUAAUCUGAACGUUAUUUGUUUGUGGUUGUUGAUUCCCUGGAGCUGUUAUAGAAGUCAUUAUUGAGUAGAGAUUUUUUGAAGUUCCUUUUUGCAACGAAUGAGUAAAUAGUUGCAUAGAUGUUUGAUGGUAUUAGCAUACUCUGCUUCUAAAAUAAUGAAAGGGAUUUUCCGUUACUAUUUAGUUGUGGACUGAGGCCUGAAGAAGUAUGUUUUGAAACUCGGAAUUUCAUGGAGGAUUUGUAGGAAUCCCAUAUAUAAUAAACAUGUCAAAAUUAAUCCUCCUAUAUUUUCUUGGUCAUUUUCUAGAGCUAGGCUCAUUUAUCUUUAAUUUGUCUAGUGAAGAGUAUAUGUAUAUCCUUUGCUCCAAACAUGUAGUGGUGAGUGGAGUUUACUAAUAUUAUUAUGUGUAGUUAACCUAGAACUAGAAGCUUGGUAACUGAGCCUUAUCUAAUCUGGCCCUAAACUAACUUAUCAUCCAAACUGAUCAGUUGGAGUCUUGUGACGAUGAUAUCUCUGGUUUGUUGUGGAACGGGACUAGUACUGCCGGACAUAUUAUACAUUGGAUGCAUGCGACAUAUAUACAGUGUUGAACUUGUUUAUAUUAAUUUAUCCUGGAUAGCCAAUAGUAGCCCAUAACAUUAACAUGCAACAUAGUAUAUGCAUUUGCAUGUACUGCUAGUUCCCUGCUACGUACGAUCCUGACAGUAGGCACCUAAUCUUUCCAUGCCCCAAUAUUUUACCGCCGCUGUCGCUUCCAUUCUAGAGAGAGAACAAUAUGACCAUCUUGUAAAACAUUCUAGAGAAGAGAUGCAUGGAGAGUAUGGCAAUAAUUUAAGCAGAUUGAUGGGAGCGAGAUAUUUUUAAAGGCAGAUCAUCGAUUGAUGCAUGGGAGCGAGAGAGCUUAGCAGAGAAAAUAAAGAAGAUUGGUGAUUGGUGAUAGGCCGGGGCAGCCGUGGUGCAGCAGCAGCUAGAACUAGAGAAGCUAAAAGGAAGGCUGAUGGCAGGGCAGGGCAGUAGUUUAAGGACGGGUCCAUGCCUGCAGCUAGCUAGCAUCUAUCGACGUUCCUCCGUUGUCGCGGAGCCGGUGGACGCGAAUGGCAUGCGUGGGUGCACUACCCUGCUGAUGCACACAGCAUGCAUUGCUGCCUGCAUGCGACAUGGUAUACAGCUCCCGGCCGGCGUCUCUCCUCUCCUCUCUUCUCUUCUCUUGUCCAUCCAUCGGCAGCAUACGGUCGGUCACUCGCAGCAUGCAUGCUCCUCUGAUCGAGCUCUGCUGGUGUCGUGUCGUGUCGUCGAUGGAUCGGGGCCGGGUUGGGUGUUGCUGCAUUGCAUGCUCCCUAAAGCGCCGCCCUUGUUGCCAAAGUGAAUGCUGCCGACGACGACCGCCGCGCCGCCCGUCUUCUUUUUCGGCGGAGGGGGGCGGCCGGGCACGGGCACGGGCACGGCACAGUCUUCCGGGCAGGGGCAGGGGCAGCCGGGCAAGCCAACACCUGCUAGCGGACGAGAAAUUGAAUCGAAUGGGAAACAAAGAAAAAAUUGAUGGCUGAUGGCUCCAUCUUUCUUUCUGUCUGUCUGUCUGUCGGUCAGUCAUUUUACUAAUUUAUUUGACUGCGCUACGGAGACGACAGUGUAACAUUUUUAUUUGUAUUUAAUAAUUAUUAUUUAACUAUAGACUAAUUAGGCUCAAAAGAUUCGUCGCGUAAACUAUAGACAAACUGUGCAAUUAGUUUUUAUUUUCGUCUAUAUUUAGUACUUUAUACAUGUGCCACAAGAUUUGAUAUGACGGGAAAUUUUAAAAAGUUUUUGAAUUUCGAAGUGAACUGGUCAAAUAUGCAAUGCUUGUACGUGCGCACUAGUUUAUGCCAAUGAUUCAUUUUUCGCGGAUCCUCCGAAUUUCACACCAUACAGUCAGAAUAUAAUUGCUCCAAGACACGUCAAUUUUGAUGCGUCAAUUUGUGCAUGUGGUUCCUGGCACUACUGGAUCCGGCUUCUUUGCCGAGAGCCGCGAGCCCUCGGCAAAUGCCUAAAAGCCCUCGGCAAAGGCUUUGCCGAGGGCCAUAAACGCCCUCGGCAAAGCCUACGGCGCCGUCGAAAAACGUCAAUAUUGACGUCGUCUUUGCCGAGAGCCAUGCUGGCAGGCUCUCGGCAAAGAUUCUUUAUUUUUUUUAAAAAAAGCCUUUGCCGAGAGCCCUGCAGGAAGGCUCUCGGCAAAGAACCCCUUUGCCGAGAGCCAGACAUCCAGGCUCUCGGCAAAGAACCCCUUUGCCGAGAGCCAGACAUCCAGGCUCUCGGCAAAGCUGUAGUUCUUCUGAACCCGGCUUUCUAUCUUUGCCGAGUGCCAGCCAUCCAUGCUCUCGGCAAAGCUGAGAAUUUAGUUUUUUUUUCUGUUUUUUAUCUGUUUUUUACAUGCACAGCCACAUAUGUAUAUAUAUAUAUCACAAAUCCCUUUGUCUAUAUCACAAUCCACAUAUAUAUCACGCAUGAAACAUAUCGAAGUCCACAGAUAUCACAAAUCCACAUAGAUAUGACAAAUAUAACAUUACGUCCAACAUAAACCAUAAGUCACCACAAGUUCAUAACAUAAACCACAAGUCCACGUGAAUAUCACUCCUCGAAGUCGCUAGCGCCUCACCCCUAGUGCUGUGACUCUGACCUGUCGUCGCCGUGGCCUCCGUCGUGUCCCGAGCCUCCAUCUGGCCAAGCCGACCAGGGUGAGUGCCCCCCAGGGUGUGUAGAGCUCGCACCUGCCCACGGCGCCCACAUGGCCUGCCCUGGCACCGACGGGUACGGGUACGAGUACCCGGGGCGCGGAGGAGGGCUGCCGGACAACCCGGGGUGGCCGUGCUGCGGAUGGGCACCAGGCCACGUGUGCUGCGUACUUGGGUGGCCAUAAGUAGUAACCUGCCACCCACUCCUUGGAGAAGGGGUCGGGUUCGAACCCCACGACUGAUGCUACAUAAUAUAAAAGCGAACUCAUUAGUAUCUGCAGGACGGCCACACAAGCCAAAGCAAUAGACAAACAUAUAUACACUCACCGGACUGCCUGCAGGGGCAGGAACAGGGGGUGGAACAGGGGGUGGAGCGAAGAGCGAGGCAGGCAGCGGAGGCGCUGUAGAGCUGUGGAUGGACUGGAAGUAUCCGACUAGGUCCGAGAUCUGACGCUGCGUGUGCUGCUGCUGUGCCUCCAUGUGGCGCCGAUGGGCCUCGUCUCUGGCCGCCAGCGCGGCCGCCAGCUCUCGCCGAUGAGCCUCCUGCAGCUCGUCCUGCCUGGCCCGCAACUCCUCUAGCUGCGACUGCAAUAUUACACCCGCAAUGGUUAAACAAUGCAAAAGGAGAUGUAUAUAUGUAAAAAUAAUGGACGAUGGAUAAAGCUGUAGUUACCUGCAUCGUAGCUAUCUGCUGCACGGAGCUCGGCUGACGAGGCCGUAUGGGGACGUCGGAGGUCGAGCUGCUCCCCUGCCGAACCUCGCGGAGCGUGGGUACGGUGGCCGGGUUGAUUGCGCUGUGGGCAAUCAUGUACCGGCCGUGCUGCUUCCCUCCUCCCGUCCUCAUGAGCAAGUCCGUGUCCGAGACCCUUUGCCGUGGGCCGUCCAGUCUGGCUCUCGGCAAAGACCCUUUGCCGUGAGCCUAACGCGCAGGCUCUCGGCAAAGAACUGCUGACUUUUUUUAUUCUUUUUGAAUUUAGAGCUGAGUUUUUUUUUUUGUCCUUGUGACUCAAUUUCUAAAUACAUUUUAAAAUUUGGCAUUAAUUUGACUUUUUUUGCUAUAUUUAACUAAUUAAUCUUGUUUCUUUAUAUUUUUUCACAUAAUUCAAAUUUCAACUGUAGGUACAUGAAAUAUUACAACUCAAUGAUUCGAAAAAUGAUAGUCAAGAUAUUUGGUGUACGUUGAGGUCGUAACCACAACCACACAUGAAAUCUCAACCCUCUCGCUAACAUAACAUGUCAAGGAAUGUGAGGGAAAAUGGAUUUAUAAUUAUAUAAAUUUCAAAUAAACUCCAAAAAUCACGAAACUUGGCGACGUGUCGUGUUAUCGCAUGUGGAGGCUGUGGUAAAAAAUUCAUAAGGUUCCGAGCAAGUUGCGACACCGGAUGUCUAAAACCCAGACAUCUCCACAUGUUAUCGAAUGUGAUCACAUGCGGAGAUGUCUGGGUUUUAGACAUCUCGUGUCGCAACUUACUCGAAACCUUAUGAUUUUUUUACCACAGUCUCCACAUGCCAUAACAUGACACAUCGUCAAGUUUCGUGAUUUUUGGACUUCAUUUGGAAUUUAUAUAAUUAAAAAUCACUUGUACGACACAUGGAUGGUCAUGUUUUAUAUACAAGAAAUUCAAACUCUUGGGUGAGUUUAUGGAUACAACAUCAAAAUGCAGUCUUGAACAUGAGUAUAAUUUUUUGAAUGACUAUAUUUUAUUAUUUCAUGCUCCUACAGUUCAAAAUUACUUUUUCGAGAAAAAUACAAAUAAAAUAAUUUAAUUAAAAAAUAUAGCAAAAUGUUAUAAAAAGCUCUCAAAUUUGAACAUGUGCUUAUAUACAAUAUGUAAGGGUUACAGAAAAAGUUUGAGUACAAAACUAAAAAAAAUCUUUCUUCUUUGCCGAGAGCUUGACAAGGCACUUGGCAAAGGCCUCCUCUUUGCCGAGAGCCUAACGCCGUGGCUCUCGGCAAAGGUGACGACAACGGUUGCCGUUACCAGCGCUGCUCCUUUGCCGAGAGCCUAUCUUUGCCGAGAGCUAGGCUGUCGGCAAAGCUAGCCUUUGCCGAGGGCUUGCCUUUGCCGAGAGCUUGACCAUCGGUAAAGUUUCUUUGCCGAGGGUCGUUUCUGACUGUCGGCAAAGGCAGUCUUUGCCGAGGGCUAGCUCUCGGCAAAGCUGAGCCCUCGGCAAAGCUCUCGUUUCCUGUAGUGUGGGCUUUGAAUUGAUCGAUGGCAAAAAGCCGUAAUGGAAGCACGUCGCGUCUUGAAUGCAUGCACUAUAUAGGAAUAUAGCUACACAAAAGAAGAGAAAUAAUGACACACAUAGUAGUAGCUAGCUAGUAAAGUGUGUAUGUAAGGCCUUGUUUAGUUCCCAGAAAAUUUUGCAAAAUUUUUCACGGUCCCCGUCACAUCGAAUCUUUAAACGCAUACAUAAAGUAUUAAAUAUAGACGAAAAUAAAAACUAAUUGCACAGUUUGGUCGAAAUAGACGAAACGAAUCUUUUGAGCCUAGUUAGUCCAUGAUUGGAUAAUAUUUGUCAAAUACAAACGAAAGUGCUACAGUGUCGAUUUUGCAAAAUUUUUCGGAACUAAACAAGGCCUAAACCUAAAAGCCCAUGCAUUAUUGCUUUUUAAAAAGUUAAAGCGGUGAUGGAUGGUUUUGUUCAUGGCUCGAGGAGGAUGUGUCCUAGCUAGUUGUUGGUGGGGGAGGUGAGAGUACCUAGGAAAAUUUGCUUACAUUUUCCUGUACAUGCAUGCAUGCAACGCUAAUUGGAUGGAUAUGGUCGGAACAUGCAUGGGUCCACCAUUCACAUCUCUUGGUCCUACACGCACGCCUACUAUUGUGAUGCGUCUCAGCUUUUUAAUGUGCCUGCGUUGCAUGCAUGCAGCUGGGUACGUAAGGACACGCCGCAAGCUGCCCAAACUCUAGCUCUGCUUCCCGCAUUGCAUUGCAUUGUAUCUACCUCGUGGCGCAUUAGGGUUAGAGAGAGAGAGAGAGAGAGAGAGAGAGAGAGAGAGAGAGAGAGAGAGAGAGAGAGAGAGAAGUGUGGUAUAGCUAGCAUGCAUCCAUAUAUAUCCGAUCGACCUGUAGUUCAUGGCACAUUCAUUAGGUUUGGAAGAGUGAGAUCGAGGCAGGACGAUAUGUAGUACGUCGUCGUCCUUCGUAUAAACGGACAUUCGCUCAAUGUUGAAUUGUUGACAGACGACGAUGCGCGCGGCACUUUGUUUGACCAUGCAUGCAUUCAUCCGUGCAUGCAUGGAGCGUCUAUGUGCUUGUCCCUGAAUAAACUAAUUAAUCACUGCACGAACUCGAUCGCCUUGCUGUCAACUUAGCUUAGCUUAUUACAAGUGUGUUAACGACAAGCAAUCAUGGAAAUGAGCUGCAUAUAGACACUGUUCACAAUGCACGUUAUGUUGGAGCACUAGCUAUAGCUAAUUAAUGAGCCAGCAAUUAACAAAACGCCUGCUAAACCAAAAUAUGCAUUUAAGCCAUGUUUCGUUUCCUCCGGUAAAGUUUAACUCCUGUCAUAUCGAGUGUUUGGACACAUGCAUUAAAUAUUAAAUAUAAAUUAUUUACAAAACUAAAAUAAAACUAGAGAGUAAUUUGCGAAAUAAAUCUUUUAAAUCUAGUUAGUCUAUAAUUAGAUACUAAUUGUCAAAUAAAACAGAAAUAUGCUAUAUGCUACAGUACAUCCUUAACCGGCAAGUACAGGCCGGGUGAGGCAUGUCGGAUGCUAGAGAUGGCCAAAUGGGCUAAGCCCAAUAAUACGCAGCCUAAGCACAUAUGGGCCUACUAAAGCAUCGCAUUACAUUAUGGGUCGAGCCACUAUGUGUCUCGUGCCCUUUUUUACCAUUCAAAAUGGGUGCUCUCAGGAUGGAUCAUAAUUAUGCCCCUUUUUAAUUCGAGAGCAAUGUUGAUCAAAUUUCGUCGUAGUUGCAGCACAGCCAAAAAAAAAAACUAACAAAAAGAGCCUGUCAGACAACCCAUGGGCCAUCCCAGCCAGGCAAGCCUGGCCGGAAACGAUCAUCUACAGCACCGGACAAAGCGUCAGAGCCAAUCCUGGCCGUUAAUCACGCUCUGGCCCACAGGUCAUGGCUCAUCAACCAGGCUUAAGUGCUUGCCUCCUUAUUAAUCAAGGAUGCAGCGGUACGAUCCUAUAGAACAGAUCCUGUUCAAGUAAGGUCGUGCUACACCGCGCGAGGCGCAGCCUUAUAAGCUAGCUGAACGCAGUCUGCGCUUCCGAGGUGGUACUACUACUACUACGUUUCGCUAAGCUGUUCAGCUCGCCGCGCUAGCUAGCUAGGAUCUAGCUUGGGCCGUGGCCCAUGGGCCUUUCUCCUGUAAAAAAGGCCUAGGCCUUUGAGGAGGGCGGUCCAGUUGUUAGAGGGAGCUUGGGUGGCGUUCUUCAGAGCGGCUCGUGGCAAGUCCAGGCCAUUGUAAUCCAUGUCACUUGUUUCUUGAUUAAAAAAAAAGGCCUUUGUGUAGUGCAGUCCAUGUAUGGCUCAUCGCAUCUGGUCGAGUAAACAAACGGCUUUGUAUUGCAGUUGAUAUUCUGCGCCUUUUUUAGAUUCAUUCAUUCACAAGUAAACACAUAUCGAGCCACAUUAGAUUUAGCAUGUUUUUACCGUUGUCAUUUAUAUAGUGUUCUGACACGAUGGCAAACACAAAUGUGCCAGCAGCGAGGCAGUAAAGUUCGGAGACAGGUACUCUGCAACUUUAUGUUGUUGGGCUGCGUUUCGCUGUAACUUUGCAUAGGAAAAAGUUUACUUUUUCUCCUCUAAUUUUCAAGAUAAUCCACUUUUCCUCUCGUAGCUCUAAAACUGGACAAAUUAUCUUCCUUAAUUUUUUUAAACCGUGUAUUUUACUUCCCUGAAGUGAUUUUGAAGACAAUUUUGCUACAAUAAAGAUAUGAUGCUGAAAAUCCUAUCUCUACCGCAAGAAGCAAAGAUGAAAAUAGUUGGUCUUCUUUUUUCACGGUGGGAGGCAUGCAAUAAGGCAAAGGUUGGUGAACAGUUGUGGUCGACAACAGAGAUUGUUCACAGAGCCAUGUCAACAAGCCUUUUUUUGCUCUAUGCAGUGGUGAGAGAAAGGUGUAAAACCGGAGAUGGAGAAGGUACACUGGUGUCCGCCAAACUCAGAAUAUGUGAAAAUUAAAUUUGAUGGUUCUUUUAUCGAGGACAAAAAGAGUGGAGCCUGGGGAUUUACUAUGAGGAAUCAUGAAGGAUCUAUGAUCUUGGCAGGUGCAUGAAACUUAGAUAAUGUUUAUGAUGCUCUAUGUGCAGAAGCGCAUGCAUGCUUGAUAGCUAUCACCGUGGCAGUAGAUCAAGGAAUGAUGCAAAUUCAGUUUAAAUCGGAUUCUAUGGUUUUGGUAAAAGCUCAUAGAUCUCCUGAUUAUGAUCUUUCAGCUGGAGAUACUAUGUUUAGAGAAGCUAAAUUUCUUCUAGACACUCAUCAUUUCUUUUGAUAUAAGUUAUGUUCCACGUUCUUAUAAUGUCUGUGCACAUGAGUUAACUCGCUAUGUUUGUCAUUGGACCCGGAUCAAUCUUAUGUCUUGGUUGAUUCUCUCCCAGAGUUUGUAAUCUCUGUAGCGGUUCGUAACCUUCACGAUCCACCAGAGACAUAAUAAAGCUGCAAGUCUUUAUCUUAAAAAAAUGUAAAACGCUCUAAGCACUCUGGCGCAAGUCCACACUAAAACUCAAAAAUACAUGUAUUUUUCUGUAUUUAUUUCAUACAUAAAUUAACGACGCUGUUCUUUCUUUUAGUAGUUGUGGAAGACGUACCCAUCUACCAAUCUCAGAAUAUGGCGUAUAAAGGGGAGUGAAUGCAUAUUUUUAUGCACUUGUUUUAAGAAAAAAAAGUGAAAACAUGUUUUUUAAGUAUAGUAUACACCUCCAACAACUCAUUUGUCAGUAGAAUUUCAUAAUCCAACCUAAUCUCAGUUCAGAACUCUAAAAUCUACUGUUGGCAGCUUUAGAAUUUAGAAACCGCAAAUCCGCAAUCCCCACUUAAAUAAAGCAGAAUCAGAUUGCUUUCUGCAAAAAUUCCACACCCGCAUCCUCAAGCUUUUCACUGAAGUAUACAAAGGACAAAAUUUAGAAUCUUUUUCCUCAACGAGCGAGGCUGUCAAACAGUAGCCUAGAACGUGUUCAAAAAUCACAUUGCUCCGAGAACCUUGUGAAAGCAAAGCCUGAAGUAACAGUUCAUGCCCAAAGUCACACAAAUGCAGCACUGUCCUCUUCAUGGUGUAUGCAGUUCCUCAAACCCAAUGUCCUUUGAUGAUUGACGUAUAGGCCACCUGAAAUGCAAUGAGGAGAUUAGUAGUGUCACUACCAAUUUGCAUGGCGAAGGCAAAAACAACUCAUACAAAUUAGAUCAUACAAUGGAUUUUGGGCACAAAAUGUUAUUUUACAUCUUAAGUGGACUGAAAAUCGGGGGACAACUGUGAUACAUCAAACAUUGUAAACAACACAUUAGAAAAUACUCCCUUCUUUUACUCCCACUUGUAGGAUGAAUAGUGAAUGCUAGAAGUGCAUGCAAAGUGCAUAAAUAAUAUACACAGUCAUUUCCCUAAACUAUCAAUGCUAGCUUCCAAAAGAGUAAAAUCUAUUGAACACAAACCUAUCUUUAAUGCUGCCAAAGAAAUUUAAUAAUACUAUUAAUAAUAUAUACAUAUAUCUUCAACAAGCAUCAGAGAUCCUGGUCAUCUGGUGUUAGUGCUGCAAACCUUUUUCAAUUCAAAAAUAUUAUAAAAGAAAACAAAUUCUACAACACACAUGCACACACAGAAUUCCCUGUAUUUUAACCAACCCCAUCCCAGCACUGAGGCAUAAAUCAUCAUCCUCUGAUCUUGCUGUCCACAUUUAUACCCUCCUUCAUGUAUAUGGUCUAUAAAACAGCACGUCAUGUUUAAUUUAUAAUAUUGUUUGAGGGAAGAAACAUUUUAUCAUACCAAAAAUCAUCUAGCAUGUCUAUCAACCUUGAAUAGGACUCACAGAAUUGCCGAUCUAUGAGAGAGGCUUAGGUAUAACUUCAUUUUGCUUUGUACAAAGCAAAAGUAAAAUUCCAUGUAAACUAAUUUGGCAAGAAUAAAACAACAAUGCCACCAUAGCACCUGAGGAAUGAGCCAAAUUUCUCACUCCUGCUGCCCAAAAAUAUGCUCUUCAUCAUCUAAGCCCCAGUAAUGACGUGGAUAGCCCAUGAUGAAUUGAUUAUUAUGUUCAAAGGGGAAAAAACUACGUUUACCCUAUAUCAUGCAGCCGGUCUAUCAAGAAUGAACCUAGCUCGCAGAGCUGCCAUUACAUGACAAAACUCAGGAAAUAAUUUCAGUUUGGUUUGUACAAAGCCAAAGAAAAAUAUAGGUGCGAAAUUUUGGUCCAGGGGAAACCCACAGCAGCGCCUUCAUGUCACAUGGGCACCAAAGGCAACUGAAAAUCAAAUCACUGCACGUCUAAUGAUCAUGAAUCUCUAAUUUUGCAGAACUUCUAUUCAAAGGCACAUGACUAACUUCACUUCGGUUUUAUAUGAAGCUAAAUAAAACAAAUCUUGCUAACAAAUUUGGCUCCAAAAAAAUGACAGCAGCAUUUCAGUUUAGUAUUUAGAAACAAUUUCAAACACUGGCCAGUCAGAAAACUAAAAAUACAAGGAAAGCACAGUACAAAAUCCACCCAAAUACAGUAGAAAGAACACACAAACAUCUACUGUUAAGUGUUAAGAACCAAAGGAAACAACUCAAUACACUACCACCCUUUUUAGUCCACUAUAUGUAUCUACUUAUCUAGCUAGAUGGAAUUUCAGAACUAGAACACUGCCCUUCAUUAGAUACUAAUAAAGUAACGAUAAAGAUGCCCAUACAAAAAUGUGAAGAAGUUGCAAGAAUGAAUUAUGAGGAUGGCAAACCUUAGAAGAUAUUCUUUACAGAACUAGUUACCAGAACAAGUCUUAGCUCUUUCUCUUUCCCUCUGUCAGGCCACCAAGGAGCUCCCACUGGUGUUUUCCAGCACAGCUAGAAGCAUAAGCAGCAGCAAGACCUGGGACACUCAUCUCGUGCGGGUGCACAAGUUUAGCCAGGAGAUUAUCAUUGCCCAUCACUGCAAUAGUAUAGAAGCUGAAACUAGAAGUCACCAAUCCCUUGUCCUCGAGAAAUUUCAUCAAGUAAUAGCGCGGCAACAACCGACGCUCCACACUAUACAAUAGCAACACUGGCCGAUACACAAUGUCUGGCAUCUGCAACCCAACAUCACCCAUUAGAAAAUCCAAGCUUUUGCGAACCCUUUCCGGAGCUAAGUUCAGGAUAUUCGGCGCCUUCCUCACUGCUGACGCUAUAUCAUCCCUCGACCAGCCAAGCUUCUCAAACAGCUGUAUAUUACUCUCGAGCUUCUCACGGUUGAAGAUCGCAAACCUCAUGAACGCGAAGGGGAAAGCCCACGUGCCCUGCUGGAUUCCAAACUCGGCAACGCGUGCCAGAGUUUCCUGGAGGUGCUCAUUGCUCCUGACAAGUAUCCGGGACAAGAAAGUGCUGGGGAUAUCGGAAAUCUGCAUCCCGCAUCGCUGAAGAAGGGCCAGGUUGGGCUUGGCGACCUUGUCGAGGUUGGUGCUGAGGAGGCUGCCGUUCAUCUUGACGAACCGCAGGAGCUCGUCGAAGGAGCCGAAGACCCCAAGCCAGAAUUCAAAAUUGCGGAGGAGCGAGCGGCUGCGGAUCCGGGCCUGAGCGGCGAGUACUACCUGGCCGACCUGGUGGCUCGACAGGCCGAGGCUGCGGAGCUCGGCGACGCGGGGGGCCAAGGUCUUCCCCACGUCGACGCAGAGGAGUCUGGGAUCUUUGGCGACGACGGUGGCGAGGUCGGUGCCGGAGAUGUCGAGGCCGGCCAGGAAGGCGAGCACGGCGUCGGGCUUCGAGGGAGAGCUGAGUCCGGGGAUACUUUUGGAUGCCUUGAGGGCCUGCUCUCCGGAGAGGCCGCAUCUGGCGACGAGGUAGUCGGCGACCGUGAAGGGGCUGCUCGCGGCGGCGGCGGAACCGCAGAGGAGGCGAUGGAGGGGGGCGAUGCAGGAGGUUGAGCGGCGGGACGAGGAGAGUAGGUGUGGAAGAAUGCAAUUUCGGAGGCGGAGCAUAGCGUCGGGAGCGGCCGGCGGCCGGCGACCGACGGCGGGAGGGAUUGCGGUGAGUGAGACUGCGCCUUCAGCCUUGGGCCCUUGGCAUUUGGCAACUCCACAACCGAAGGCCGAAGCAUCCAAUUUGGGCCGUAGCCCCUCAUCCAGAUUUCAGCACUUUUCAUCACACUCCAGGCCGAUUCACACACAUUUUUCUAACCUAAUUCUCAUUUCAGCCUCCUAUAUUCCAUCCACUCAAAAAAAAAGCUGUAUUUUAUACAUAAUGUAUUACCAAGUUUAAUGGUAUUUUAAUUUAAACAGCAUUAUUUUAGAUUUGCAUUUUAAAUUGCUUAAGUUUUUAACUGAUAAAUAUUUAACAAAUUAUUUUCACAUCAAAUAAUUCGCAACUGUUAUAUUUUGAACAGGGAUCUUCCAAUGGCUAUAAAUCAAACAGCCAUCCUUCCCACGGCUAUAUUGCAAAUUUUGUCUAAUGUAUUACCAAGUUUAAUGGUAUUUUAAUUUAAACAGCAUUAUUUUAGAUUUGCAUUUUAAAUUGCUUAAGUUUUUAACUGGUAAAUAUUUAACAAAUUAUUUUCACAUCAAAUAAUUCGCAAUUGUUAUAUUUUGAACAGGGAUCUUCCAACGGCUAUAAAUCAAACAGCCAUCCUUCCCACGGCUAUAUUGCAAAUUUUGUCUCCAAGAUGCUAUAUGUUUCAUCUGCAUAUAUGCAGGGGCGAACUUACAAGCAAAUGAAUCCCGGUGCACUAUUUAAGUAACUCACACAACUUUAUUGAAACAUAUGGUGAGAAAUAAAUACCCUGGUGCCUGUGCACCAGGUUACUUCAACAUGGCUUCACCCCUGUAUAUAUGUGUGGUCUUCACUUGAUUCAUGCAUUACUUUUUUUCCACUGUGUUGUUCUUACUCCAUUAGAAAUAAGUUAUCUAACUUGAUUGGAUUCCUCUUCCUCGUAUGAUGAUAACAACGAUUUUAUGGAGUCUGAUCCUUAAUGUAUUACACUAAAAACACACUCAAUAUUAACCUCUUCAUGCUUCACAAAGGGUGAAUCUAUACCUAGGCGUUAUUACAUUCACUGGAACAGAGAAAGUGGUAAAUGGAGGGUUUUUCUGAAAAUCCAACCUACAUCCAUAUUUUCUUUUUUUUUUUUCUAUUUGUCCCUCAAGUUUAGCAUGACUCGUUCUCUAAUUCUACACAUAUGGUUCAUAAUCAUACAUACUCCCUCCGUCCACAAAUAAAUGCAUAUCUCAUAUCCCGAGGAGUCAAACCUUUUUAAGUUCGACCAAGUAUAUAAAAAAAUAUACUAAUAUUUAUCAUAUGUAACAUGUAUCAUUAGAUUGACCAUGAAAUAUACUUUUAUAAUAUACUUAUUUGUAGAUACAAAUAAUAAUACUACUCCCUCUAUCCCAAAUUGUAAGUCAUUCCAAGAAUCUUGGAGAGUCAAAGCAUUUUCACAUUUGACUAAAAUUAUAGAGAAAAAUACUAAGAUUUGUAACGUAAAGUAAGUAUACUAUGAAAAUAUAAUUAAGAAAGAAUCUAAUGAUACUUAGUUAGUACUAUAAUAAUAAUUAUUUUAUAAUAUAAAUUUGGUCAAACUUAAAAAAGUUUGACUCUCCAAGAUUCUUGGAAUGACUUACAAUUUGGGAUGGAGGGAGUAUUUGAUAUAUUUCUAGUCGAUUUUAAAAAAGUUUGACUCCUCGAAAAGCGAGAUGUGCAUUUAUUUAUGGACGGAGAGAGUAUGAGUUUCUUGGAUUCAUAUGUCUGUAUCACAAAUAGACAAUUCACACCCAACAUUUUGAGUUUCACUAGAUUUUGUUGUUACGUUUGGGUCCUCAGUGUUUUGUUUUUGGUUUAGACUCAAGCAGGGCGGAUCUAAAGGGGGGCUGGGGGGCUCUAGCCCCCCCCCCCCCCGGCCCGCCAACAAUAGUUAGUGCAUCAAUGGAAAUAUGGGGAGGGUGAGGAAGAAGAAGGGGUGGAGGAAAGAAGAAAAAUGGAGAGAAGAAGAGAUCAACCCCUUUAAUCUUAUUUUGCAUCCGCCACUGGACUCAAGAAUAUAAUAUUCAUAAUCAUGUACUAUGAUGAAUGCAUGCUUAAAAUAUAAUCACUUAAAAAAGUGAUUGUCCAUUAUAGUUAAGGACUUUAAGGUAUAUGGCGCAUGUGUCACCUCUGCCAUGACAAUGAGCUUGUUCACUUAGCUAAAAAGUCAUAGUUGAAAGUAUUAUUCGCUGAUUUGUUAUGAGAGAAAAAUACUAUUGAAUGAGUAGUAGAUUCAGCAAAGAUAAGCUCGAAGACAGCAGAGGAUUUACACCAUUUAUGGUCAUUCCACGUAACACAUGCCAUCGUCAUGCGCUAUUGCGCUGGGAUAUUUUUCGCAACAACAUUCCUCGUCCAAGCACUGCAUACACACGCAUCAAACUAGGCAACCCAUCGUGGAUUCAUGUUACUACUCCAGAAAGAAUCAAUGGUCGAUCGAUAGAGCGAUGGAGUAAUUAACGAUGAUUGAUCGAAAAUUGAAUAUGGUACAGGCCAUCGAUAUAGAUUGAUUCAUCCACACUGAUGUUACAUGCGAUCUGUGCUUAGUUUACAUCGAUCUCGUGCAACUACUACACGCCUACGAUUGAAAACAACAAGUAGAGUACAAGAGACCUCGCUCGACAUGCACGCAUGGAUGCUCUGCUCAGCUUCAGCUCGCUCGCUCGAUCAGCUUUAGUUGCCGGGGACGAAGUUGGUGGCGUAAGCCCAGGCGUUGUUGGCGACGGGGUCAGCGACAUGGUCGAAGAGGUUCUCGAUGGGUCCCUUGCCGGUGACGAUGGCCUGGACGAAGAACCCAAACAUGGAGAACAUGGCGAGGCGGCCGUUCUUGAGCUCCUUCACCUUGAGCUCCGCGGCGGUGUCGGGGUCAUCGGCGAGCCCGAGCGGGUCGAACGCGCCGCCGGGGUAGACCUUGUCGAGCCCUUCCCCGAGCGGGCCGCCGCCGACGCGGUAGCCCUCGACGAAGCCCAUGAGCACGACCUGGCACGCCCAGAUGGCCAGGAUGCUCUGCGCGUGCACCAGGUUCGGGUUGCCCAGGUAGUCCAGCCCGCCCUCCGAGAAGAUCUGCGCGCCGGCCUUGAACCACACCGCCUCGCCGAACUUGACGCCGUUCUUGGCCAGGAUCUCCGGGAACACGCACCCCAGCGCGCCCAGCAUCGCCCACCGCGAGUGGAUCACCUCCAGCUCGCGGUUCCGCGCGAACGUCUCCGGGUCCGCCGACAGCCCCGCCGUGUCCCACCCGUAGUCGCCGGGGAACUCGCCGGUCAGGUACGACGGC
This 58563-nucleotide long non-coding RNA is filed under the name Sorghum bicolor (sorghum). RNAcentral describes it as "long non-coding RNA (SBIC_LNC000285)". The record is from RNAcentral. Lineage: Eukaryota; Viridiplantae; Streptophyta; Magnoliopsida; Poales; Poaceae.